UGCAGAGAGAGAAUGUGCUAAUCGUAAAUUUGAAAGCCACGUUAUUGAAAACAACUUGGUAAAGCGAUUAAGUUUUCGGUCAUUGGAUAAAGCAGUGUGCAGUUAUUGAGUAGGUAGUUGGUUGAAUAGUAUGAUCUAACGUGUGGAAAUGAUAAAAAAGAUAGAUCUAAUGGUGGAAAAACUUGGUAGCACCAAGUGCUUCAUGUUAUCGAUAGUAUUGUAGUCGGACUCUAUGGGUGUGUUUGGUUCGAAGUUAGAAUCGGAAUCAGAAUAGUUAUCAAAAUGAGUUAGAAUCGGAAUCGGAAUGGCUCAUUAUCUAAUUAUGUUUGGUUCAUCACCUGAAUUGGAAUUGAAAUAAAUCAUUCCUAUUGUCGGUAUUUGGUUCAGAUAGAUAUAAAAAACGCAAUCAAAUUAAUAUACUAACUUUAUCCUCAUAACAUAUUAAUUUAAAUGUAAACUGAAAAUUAAAUAUUAAAAAUUUACAUCAAAAUUUUGAAACAAUGUCAAAAUUUUAAAUCUAUUUUUGUAAAAAAAUUAAACUUUGAAGUUGAGUGGAUAAUCAAAAUAUAAACUAAAUUUCGAUUUAUUCAAAUUCAAACUUAAAAUUACAAUUUAAAUUUUAAUUUGAAUACAUAAAUUUAAUUUAAGUUUUAAAUAAAAUUUGAAUAAAACGUUAUAUAAAUUAAAAUUUUAUUUAAAUUCAAAUUCAUAAGUUAGAUUCGAAAUAUUUGAUUAAAUUUUAAUUUUUAAUUAAAGUUCAAAUUAAGAUUUAAAAUUAUAUAUUCAAUUUCUAAAUUUAAACUCAUAUUUUAAUUAACAAAAUUAAAAAAAAAAUUUAAUCUGAAUAAAUAUCUAUUCCGUCCGGAUUCAACUUCUAAUCCGGCCUCAUAGGCCGGAUUGGAAAAAGAAGUUAUUGAGGGAUUCCCAUUUCCCUUGAGAAUCGAAAUUGAAAUGGGAUUUUCUCGUACCAAACAUUCACAAAUGAAUUCGUCCAUUCUAAUUCCGAUUUUAGGGUGAAAAAAAAACGAACCAAACACGCCCAUAUAUAUAUUAUUAAGUUCAUUGAUAAUUAAAUUAAAUAAAAAAAUAGUGAAAAAAAAAUAUUACACUAUUUAAGCUGGGUAGCAUUAUUUGAAACAAUUCUUAUCAAUUUAUUUUGAGUAAUCAUUAAUCAUUGUUCUCAGCAAAACAAUUAAGGCACGCGGGUUUAGGCUCUCUUUUCGUGUAAUGAAAAAACCCACAAAAUAAAAUGGAAUUUUAUUUUUCUUUUUUUGCUUGAUAGAAAAUCUAUUUCAAUUAAAUUCAAAUCUAAUUAGAACAUUAGAUAUGUAGGUUUAAUUAGUUAAGAAAACGACAUUAGUAGGUUUAAUUAAACAAAUAAUCACAACAUCAAUUAAGUGGCCUUCUGUUCAUGGCUCUGCCUCCUAAUUAAGAACUUUCCUUCAAUGAUAGGCUCCACCAUUGCAUCCACCUCAUCAACAAAAUCAUCAACCUAUUCAUUUCACGAAUAAACAAAAUACUCAAUACAAAAUUCAUUUAGUGAAUAUGAAAACAUUGAAAUAACGUUCUUCAGCGGUUUAGGCUUCAAGAAAAAAAAAAAAAUUAAUAUCAAAAUUGGAGGUUCCGAAUACAAAACCUAAUAGUUAGAAAAACACUUAUACCACUACCAUCAACUGUUUGGAUAUAUAUACGUUAAAAAGUAAAGUCAAAUAUUUUGAAAUGUUAGAAUACAUAUGUAAUAUAUAACACUUCACAUUUAAAAUGCUUGUUGAAACAAAACAACUCACAAUAUUUGACUUUUCUUAUACGCAAAUAUUGACUUUGCCAAAUUGAAUAUACGUGACUGUCAAAUAUGAGUGAGGCUACUAUGCUAUCGAAAGUACGGAGCCUUUUGUGCUUUCAGCUUGUUUUCGAUUUUGCAACUUUCGAAUCGUCGAUCGGCUCCGUUAAACUUGAUCUAGAGUAUUUGGAGUACCUAGAAAAUGAAUUUUAUUAUUUUUCAAUAUCAUUUGCCUAGUGAUCGAAUGGGCUCAAAAUCAACAAAUUUCAAUGACCAUAGUGAGCCGUUUGCAAGUUUAACGGUGUAGAAAUAUUCAAAUCACGUGAAAUUUUGAUAGAAAAUUCUUUAUACUAUAUAAAACAAAAGCAAUAUCUUUGAUUUAAAAUUUUAAUGUCAUAUUAUUAUAUUUUGUAAGAUUUUUAUUUUCAGCCGUUGAUUUUGAGCCCCUUCGUUCACUAGGCAAAUGAUAUCGUAAAAUCAUAAAAUUUAUUUUCUAGGUACUUCAAAUACUCUAAAUCAAGUUUAACGGAGCCGAUCGACGAUUCGAAAGCCGCAACAUCGAAAACGAGCUGGAAGCACGGAAGGCUCCGUACUUCCGAUAGCAUAGUAGCCCCACUCGUCAAAUAUUGUUUCAAAGUCAAAUUUUCCUGAACUCCAUUUGUUGAAAGGUAAGUACAAAAACCUAAGCAGUGCCUGAUAAUAAAAUUCUAAAAAUGUGCUAAAAAAUAACUUAAAACUAUAAUGUGUGCGGAAAUUAAGGAUUAGUGAAGACUGGAAGAGGACCUUGUUGAUUACGGAGUCGACUAAUUCCGCAUCCUUGAUAACUUCCUCUGCAAUAUGCUCUACCUUCAAAACAGUUUCUUUUAGUUCGCUGUUUUCUGGGAGGGUUUCUGCUACUUCUGACGAUAUCUUCUCUAUCGUCUCUGCUGCUUGCUCCACCAUCUCCACCACCGCCACCGCGGUCUUGUCAACUUGAUCUGGAGCAUAAAUCAUCUUUUUAGGGAAAGAGAUUGAUUUUUUAAAUAAAAUAACUGAUUAUUUUAAAAGUUCAAGAUACUAAUUAAAUAAGGUAUUUUACUAUCUUUAAAAAGGAACAAAAAAUAUAUUAAUACCAAGUACAAGAAUUACUAGGAAUUUAUACUUCAUCAAUAUCAUGUAAUUUGGAUACCUUCGAUUGUUAAGAAUCUCUUGUAGGAUGGCAAAGCCACGAAUAUGAUCAUGCCCAAGAUCCACUGCACCCUGCACCAAACAUGUGCUUAAUUAAAGAGUUUAACUUUUUAAUUAAAUUACCUUUAAAUUUUACGAAUGUGCUUAAUUGGUUUUUUUUUUUUUUUUUUAAUGACAAAUAUGCUACGCGGUGGAGUUAAAUUAGGAAGUAGCUAGAGAAGAGAUGAUUAAGUAAAUUUACUACGCAACAACAUGUAAAAUAUGCAUACCAUGUAGCGAAAUUGAAUAGAGAAAAUUUUGGGAGCCCUGGACUGCUGGUGUGAUUGACAUUUGUCACCCUACAUUUUUAAUUAAUAAAGGAUCAGUCACAAAUACCUAAACAAAAAAAGAAAAAGAAAAAAAAAACAACAAGAAAAAUAGGCAUGCAUAUAUAUAUAUAUAUAAUGAGGAGAUUGCGUACUUUGGAUUGUCUUGAGCUGGCUCAGCGCGGUUGGAACGAGGCGGUUGCAUUGCUCGAACUAAACGCACCCUCCGAUUCAUGCGGAUCCGUGGAGAAAUCAUGUUGGUGAGGAGGGGGUAAUUAGGGAUCAUAAUUUUAUUAGCGAGCCGAGGAGGAGAGAUGAAAAGUGCUGAGGAGAGACACAGCUUAGAAGGAUUGGGAGGAGCAAAAGAAUGAGCCAUGGCUUCUCCAAGUAGAGCUUAAUUUGUUUCAGUUUCUACGGUGUUUGUGGCUCUCUUUUUUUUUUUUUUUUUGUUUGUUUGUUCGAUUAAACAGCUUCUACGGUGUUUGUGGCUCUUGUGCUGUAGCAUUAUAUACAUAGGUCAGGUGGUGAGAGAGAGAGAGAGUACACUUUUUUCUUCAGGAUGCAUCAACCAAAUUGGUCACUGCAUCUUUUAGUCAAUUGUUGGUUAAAUGGUUGAAAUAUUAAAAUUUAAAUUUAAAAUUUGAGAUCUAUGAUGCAACUUUUAAGUCUCUGGAAAACUGGCGCGAGAUGUAGGAAUAAGAUGGUGCAAUUACAAAAUUAAUUAAAUUUAAAAGCUUAAGUUUUAUACGCAUUUUAAUUUAAAUUUGAAACUAUCAGGUUCAGAAUAUAAAUUUAAAUUAAAUAAAAGAAAUUAAAAUAAACAUAGAAGUUUGGUGAGAGUCGGGUUAAGACUUCUAACCGCGUUCCACCCUAAGAACGUCAAACUCGUGCUUCACGUGUUCAUUCCUAUCUAUGCGGACAUAAUUUCAGGGUGAAAGUACGGACCGGAGUUGUGGGGUUUGAUCAAGUGGGAGUACUUAUAACUAAAUUGUCAAUAUUUCUUUUGUAGAAGGGAAUGGAAUUUUUCGCAACUUAUAAUUUUAGUUUAGCUAUUUGAUCUUUAAAUAUUUUAAUUUUACUAUUUAAUCUUUCGAUAUAUUUGAUUUGAACCAAUCAAUAAUACUUUGAUUUUAAAAUUUAAAUGCGUCGUUUAUUUUUACUGGUUUAGAUAGCAUAUUACAUACAAUUCUUAUAACUAUAAAUUUUCAUCUGCUUAUUUUUAUUGUUAGAAAACUCCGUUGUCAUUUUGAGUUUCGCAUGUAGUGUUUGUGCGGUCUGUGUGCGGUUUGCGUCAGAAUAUUGAUAAUUUUGAAAUCCAGCUUUUUUUUGUUGUUUUCUUAGUUUGGCAUGAAACUUUGGGCACAAGUCAAGAAGUUACAUUAAACACUAUUACGGGCCUGGUGGCUCAAACUAGCAUCGCGUUGAUUUUCAUUUCUGUGCUUUUUUUUUUUUUUUUUGGCACAAAAUGAUUCUCUUAUUUAUUUGUCGUGUCAAUGUUAUAAUCGUACUAAUAUCUGAUUAAGCCGAGCCAACACCAAUACGAGGGCCAGCACUAAAGCUGCACGAUGUUUUUGUCACAUUCGUUCACCGUACCCUCCUACUCAGAAAACGGUGCAACCCACCUUCAACUAUGAGAAAUUAUUACCGUAUGGGCUUUACCCCAAUUUUACGGGUAACCCCAAAGCCCAUGGGCUCUGAUGUACCGCAGCAAACGGACUAUGUUGAUGGGUGAAGGCCCAAAAAUAGCUAGGCUUUUAGAUUCAAAAAGGAAUCUGUUUGGAAGCAUAUAGAAAUAAACUUCUCCGUUAACAUCCCACAUGUAAUUUGCACGACACUUCGCUUUGAUACUUGUGAAAACAGAUGAAAUAUUUUAUAUUGUUUGUGUUCUCUUUUUUUGGUAUACAACACAUUUUGUUGGCAAUCUCCAACGUAACAUUUGUAGCGUUAACAUGUAUAGAACUAAUUAAAAUAUGUGUGUCGGUGGAGUUCACCAUCUUCUGCUUUUUUUUUUUCUUUUUAUUUUUUCUUUCACAAAGAUUUUUUUUCUUUAGCCAGGGGCCCAGGAGCCUACAAUCCUUCUAAGGUUGAUUUUAUUUUAUUGUCAUCUUUAUUUUUUUGUUGAAUCUGGGCUAAAGGUAUUCACCACCAGCCAUUUGUUGAAGAAUAAUGACUUUUAGCUUCCAAAUUUUGCUAAAAAAUUGUCAAUUAUAUAUAUAUAUAUAUAUAGAGUUGGACUGGGCUACUAUUAGUAGCAAAAUUCCAUUAUUGCUAUCAGUUUAUUAGUCUUUGGAUCAACUCUUUUUACUAUUUCUAACCAUUGGAUUAAAUACUAUAACCCAAUGGGGACCCCUCAACCCUAGGGGACCACUCAACUCUAACUGACUAAUAUCAUCCUGACCCUACAAUUUUUUAUCCAAGGGUUAAAAACUUGAUAGCAAAAAGAACGUUUUACUAUUAAUAAUAUUCCAGCCUAAUUAUAUUUUAUAUAUAUAUAUAGAGAGAGAGAGAGAGAGAGAGAGAGAGUUGGACUGGGCUACUAUUAGUAGCAAAAUCUCAUUGUUGCUACCAGCUUUUUAGCCUUUGGAUCAAUUCUUUUCAUUAUUUCUAACCAUUGGAUUAAAUACUAUAACCCAGUGGGGACCACUCAACCCUAGGGGACCACUCAACUCUAAUUGACUAAUAUCAUCCUGACCCUACAAUUUUUCAUCCAAGGGUUAAAAACUUGAUAGCAAAAAGAGCGUUUUACUAUUAAUAGUAUUCCAGCCUAAUUCUAUAUAUAUAUAUAUAUAUAUUGUACUGACAAUGACUUUUUUUAAAAAAAAUANAUUUACUAAUUUCGCCUAUUAGGCGAUGAAUUUUUUUUUUUUUCUUUUUUUUUUUUUCUUUUUCUUGAGAUACUACCCGUAAUCUAAGAAGUUAGAGGAAUAACCAUUAAAUAAAAAAAAUUUUUUUCAGUAACAGUCAUGUUAUAUAUAUAUAUAUAUAUAUCUUAAUCCGACCUUAUGAUAAUUAUCAUUUUGCGAGAAAAACGAUAGUUCAAAAAUUGGGAACCUACUUUUUAAGUAAAUAAAUUUAGUUAUACGGAAUGAGCCAGCAAGGCCUCAUAAAAUGACAAAAACCAUCGGAAGAAAAAGAAGGUUAAAAGAAAGCAAAUCCAAAAGAAAAGAAGAAGAAAAGGAAACAAAAAAAAUUCAUAAGCGUCACCCAGCUUUACAAUACUCAGUCUACUCCGUUAUCAGCGUGUCAAUACGUUAAGCAAUUCAAAUAGCGUAGGUAGAUAGAUUUUUAAAAAUAUUAUUUCUUUCACACUAGGUCAUCCACUACGUUGCUGCCAUUAGGAUCUUUGAGCGUCCAUCUGAAUACCCUUUCGUUGCAACCCCUCCCAAAUGAUUUUGACAUCUUUAGUAAAGGAAAGAACGUAAAAUUCUUUGAGGUUCAAAAUAAAUAAAAAUUUACUAACAACAUAUCCCACCAACAGAUAAUUCAAUGUCUCAAAAACAACGCCACACAUUACAUACUAAAGGCUCCUCAACCAUUUCCUUUUUAGAAGGUUAUUUACAGUAGGCAAUUUAGCGCGAACCAAAUAAAAAUUUAAACUUCAGUUGAAAUUUUGAAUCUCCAACUGAUCUGCAUCAGGGCAUUAUAGAGUUCUUUUUGACUUAGUAAAAUGGAGGAGAAAAAUAAGCAACAUCUUUCCACUUUUUUAAGAACAAAACCUUUAUUAUUCUAUAGCAUGUAGACAAAAAAAGUGGUAGUUAAAAGUGUACAUCCUCCACUUAUGCAUGGAUACUGAUUCUACUUUUGUCAACAAUCAAACACCAACGCGAGAAAAUAUUAGAUAGAACCAGUCUGCCAUGUCAUUUGUGGAAUAAACCAAUCAAACCUUGCAGCCCUCACUCCUGUCUAUAUAUAUAUGUACUUUUCUACAGAAUAUAUAUAUAUANAUUUAUUAUAAAACGUACUGUAUUAAUACUAUAUUACAAAAAAUAUUAAAUCAAACAAUUUUCUAACCUAUAGGAUCAAAACAAACUUUUUAAGUUAUUUUUACAUAUAAUAUAUCUAUUUGAGAGUGCUUUAUUCUUUUUCUUUUUUUUUUCUUUUUGUAAAGAUCAUAUUGUUUUCAAAAAAUAUUACUUGUAUUACUUGAUACUUAUAUAUACAAUAUAACUUAAAAAGUUUGUUUUGAUCCUAUAGGUUAGAAAAUUGUUUGAUUUAAUAUUUUUUGUAAUAUAGUAUUAAUACAGUACGUUUUAUAAUAAAUUUUUUUUGGUAAUUCUUUUUCUUUUGGCAGAAGUUCUAAACUAAAAUUUCUAACUUUUCAUUACUACACAAGUUUCAAAACUUUUUAUAAUUUAAUUUAUUCAAAAAUAAUAAUUUUAAGUAAAAAUAACAUUAGAAGUUUAGCCGCAUAAAGCAAUAAAUGAACAACACAUUACUUGUUGCCCCUGGAGAGAGAGAGAGAGAGAGAGAGAGAGAGAGAGAGAGAGAGAGAGAGAGUACCGUAGGUUCAUAAAGGAGUGUUACAAGAAAUAAUUCUUCUAUCCAUAGCUUCAUGCACUCUUAUAUACGUAUAUAUAUUGGUGUAUUUUGAUUGGGUGGUCUACGAGUGACCUGGUAGACCGCAUAUAUCAACACCGUGCUACAGUGCCCAACAGGUAGAGUGUCACACCGUUAUACUGAAACACCACCUAGCCCACCAGAAGCUUUCUAGACGGAAACCGUUCCUGGACCGAGAUCCACCGGAUCAUCCGUAGACCGCCUCAUAAUCCAUAUUUCUCAUCAAUCCUCGCCACUCAAUUAGCGGUUCACGGACGACGUGGUGAACCUAGUCCAUAGAAUAGUUUCUCGCGUCCCUUUAAACGCACUUCACCGAGCUCUUUAGCCUUUAUGCGACGUUCUCCUAACAGAGGAGGGGAGAAAGGGAGAGAGAGGGAGAGAGAGAGAGAGAAACCGUUCUCGUUCUCUUGGAAGCUUCGAUAACCCCAUCCAUGGCGCCGUAUCCUCGGCUGCUCUAUCCAUGGCCGAGCAAUGCCACGGAGUGCUCAUCCGACUGCUCGCCCUCGUGCGCUUUCUAUGGUCUCUGCUCCUCUCCUCCCCACUCCUCUCACCCUCCCCCUCCUCUUCCUCCUCCUCCUUCUCCUCCUCCUCCUCCUCCUCAUCCUCACCACCCCGCCACCUCCAACACCACCACCCACCGCCACCAUCGCCUCCUCUCCCUCUCCCUCUCCCUCUCCGUCUCCGCCGCCUCCUUCUCCGCCCUCUUCCUCCUCCUCCUCGCCUGCUGCGUCGCCUCCCGCCUCCUCCGCGGGCGACGCCGCCGAUCCGCCGCCGCCGCCGCCGGAGAAGGAGACGGCGAUUUCUACGAGGCGGACCACCACGUGUGGUACAUACGCACCGUGGGGCUCGACGAGCCCACGAUCGAGGCCAUCGCCGCGUGGACCUACAAGGCCGGGGACGCCGGGCCCCUCGGCCGCGCCGCCCGGGAGUGCGCCGUGUGCCUCGGCGAGUUCCGGGACGGGGAGCUCCUCCGCCUCCUCCCCAAGUGCGCCCACGCGUUCCACCUCCCCUGCAUCGACACCUGGCUCCGCGCACACGUCAAUUGCCCCCUAUGCCGCGCCCCGAUCGUCGCCCCGCCCACCGCCAUUGAUGCGGCGCCUCCUCCCCCUCCUUCGUCUUCGUCGCCCUUGCCCUCUUCGUUGUCUCCUCUGAUUGAGCUGACCAAUCGGGAGGAGCCCGAUUUGGGCUCUUCUGCCCUAAUAGAGAUUGCCCAAAUCGAUGUAGGCCAAAUAGGGAAUGGGGAGGUCGAAAACAACGGAGUAAUCGCACCAGUGUCCUUCUCUUCUUCUUCUUCUUCUUCUUCUUCCCUGGGUAGUUCUCAAGUGAGGCUCCAACUGCUUCACCGAUCGAGGUCUAUGGACUGGUCGUCACAUACUUCUCUCAUUGUCCCGGUGGAGUUGGAGGAGAAAAGUGUAGAGGAGAGUAAACAACAUAAGCUCGAAGAGGAGUAUGGUUCUAAGAGCAGGGGAAAACAAGGAAGUGCUUCAAAGGGAGUUUCCCGGCUGCAGAAGAGUCCUCUAGAUGUGGAAUGUAUUAAGAUGGAAAGGUCUCUGUCAAGUAGUAGCAGUUCAAGGCUGCUUUUGUCGCGGCACGGACGGGCACGGAGCUCAGUUCUACCAUUGUGAAGAACUAUGAGGAGAAAUAGGGUGCUUUCAUGGUGAGAGUUUUGCUUCCAAGUUUCGGACUGUUUAGCUCUACAUAUACCGCUGGUACAAAUACAUAUAUAGCUAGAAAGAUAAGAAAGGUAAUAUCCCUACAUGCUUCGUAUAUUUGACAGAUUGAAGUUAUAGAUUAUAGAUAGUAAGAGAUGCUUUGGUUUGGUAUAGCAGCUUGAUAAAUGAAUGGUCUAGUUAAUCCGGCUUUAGUUAUAAGUGCCGGAAUUGUAAAUAGUGAUGUUGAAGGAGGUUUUCAGUAUUGAUGCCCCUCCCCUACAUCCCUUUUGGAGUGAUACACAUUAAUUAAGAGCAUUUGUUGACUGCAUUGCUUAAUUGUCUUGCAAUAAUUUUGUGGGGGAAUUUACUUAGGUAACAUGAUUAAGCUAAUUUUUUAGUCCAUUUGAUUAAUGGUGCUAUUCCUCUCCUGUAGUUUUUGGCAAAAUACCAAUUAGCUUUAGGUAAGUCACUUAUAUUAUGCUCUCUUGGCUUGUCAUAUGAAUGUAUGCAUAUAUAAGGACAACUUAAAUAAUAGGAUUGUUAACGUCAUACUAGCUUUGUAUCCAAUAUAUAGCUUUUAAAGCUUUUAACAUCAAAUGCUAUAUAGUAGCUAAAAUAUACUUCUCUAAACCAUAUAUAUGGUAGUAUGCUUGGAAAAAUAGUAGUAACUUAAGUUAACAUACAAAUACUGGUUGUGAUAAUAGAGGCAUAAAGAGGAAAAGUUACUUGUAAGUUUAAAUGCCCUAUACUAGCCUCUACAGAAAUUUAUUAGCAAGUUAGCUUUACCAGAGCUCAUUAGGGAGCUAGCUUUCAUAUCGUCUAACUUAUCAUUACAUAGCUCAGUUCUACUACUAUGCCCUUAAACAACAUUUAGGCUUCGUUUGGGAUUGCGGGGAGUUUGCGUUACGUGCGGUGAGAAACGACGAUAGAAAAAUACACCGUUUGUUUCCGUACGUAAUAUUGCGUUCCGCGUAUUGCGGUUAGUCGGUUACGAUAUAUUUUUUGCAGUCCCAUCGGAGAACGCAGAAGCAUAUCCCUAUAUGCUUUUUCUCAGCUCCAUUCUAUCUAAUAGCGUUAGAUCCGCCUCAAUACCAAACUAAGCCUUAGAAGCAUCUAUGCCGUUGAAAAUGUGAUAAUGUCUGAUUCCACUGGCCAAAGAUCAAAAUUUGUUUUAUAUCAUUUGGAAAAAUAUCGUUUGUAUAUCUAUUGACUCUCUUUCUGGAAGUAUAAGUUUGAUAAGGAUCCAAUCCUGUGUAUCAUGCUAACCCAAUACAUGCGAUUCUUACUUUAUGGAGUGAAAUUAAAGGAAUCAUUCCUCAAAACUAAAGAUCCUUGCACUAAUCAAAUAGCAAUGUUGUCCAAUAAUAUUUACUCCAACGGUCAAUAAAGAGGAGUGUUUUAUGGCCGUUCAGCUUCUAGGAUACAUGAGAUUUUUGGAUGUGUAAAUGCAAAUUCUAGACUUUUUGGACAGGUAUACAUGCAACGUUUAAUCUUUGAAAGCAAAUAUGCUCCUUUUGACUAUAAAUAACCUAUAUCUAUAUGACAUGGGUAUAGUUCUUUUGUAUUGUAACUUUGUUUAUUCAUGAAAUCCAUUGAAAAUGGGAGCGGAGGAAACAAUUUCAGUUGAGAAAAAUAGUCUUUCAUUUCCUUUUUUUUCUUUGUUGAAUGCUGCUCUUUACACAGCAAUCACUGUGAACUGGACAACUGUGUCAGCUUCCUGAUCACUAGACCAUAGAUGUCCACACAAAGCUGUGAAAAUUUUCUUGCCUGACUAUCCGUUCGUAACUACAAGGUGCUACUCACACAGCUAUGAAAAUUUUCUUGCUUGACCUUUUGUUCUUACUUAUUUUGUGCUAGUCCAGUCUCUUAUUCUUUUCUUCUUUUUCUGCAGACUUCUCAGUUCAUUGGUGUAGGUUGUCUUGCUGAUUGCUGAUUGCUGAUUGCACACUUCUUGUGGUAAAUGAUUUAAGCAAGACAAUUUACGAGUGCCAAACUUAUUUCCUUUCUCAUAACACUCUAAUGAGGAACAUUAUUUGAAAAUCAGGUCUUGUUUGUGUACUUCAGUCCGAAAAGGAGUUAUGACUUCCUUUAUAAAAUAGAUACACAUAAUUGGUUCUUAUUCUUUCCAUUAUAUGACUAUCAACAUGGGAUUCGUCUUUCACCAUAAGAAUCAUCAAAUAGUUUUUAGCUAAAUUAGAUAGAAAGAACCAGAAAUAACUGAGAAUAAGAAAUAGCUGACAACCAUGUUUGAUAAUGCUGAUACCUAACAACUAAAUGGGAUGGAAAGAUAAGGUAUCUUCAAUUCAUUCAUCACCGAAGAGUUUCGGUGUAGUAGUUUUGACAUAAUGUUGCAUAUGACUCAUUAUUUAUGUUCUUUGUUAGAUACUGCUACAUUUGCAAUCAGCACUAAUUAUUUAUAACAUAUUUUCAUCUAGUGACAAAUUGUAUUGUUUUUACUGUCUAUCCACUUGAGGUUGUGUUCAUUUUUAUCAAUUGGAAAUGUCCCUCAAGAGUUGUCUGGACACCUAAAUAUGCAGUUUUGAAUCUUUGACUUAAGGUAGAUUUGAUUCAGAAAAGGCUUUCAUGUUUGUUUAUUCUUAACAUUUUCAGUUAUCUACUGACUUGGCUUAUUUGUAGAUCUUUCUGUUUUCACAAUUGUCCUUCUAUCUCUAAUACUAUUAUCCUGCCAAUGUCUCUAUAUCAUGUACUCGGGGCAUUGAAAUGUAUUCAGAAUGUGCUAAUUUGUGCACUGUUCAUGACAUAGUUAUGCAACCAAGUGAUAUCAAUAGGACAAUUUUUAUACACUAUGUUAUGUGCAUAAGACAAUUUGUACACUACAUUAAGGAUAUCUCUAAUGCUUAUAUGAUGAUUUCAAUUAUCUGCUUCAUGUAUUGAGGGCAUUGAUAUAAUGAGAAUGCGAUAAUUUGUCUACUGUUCAUGAGAAAGUAAUGUGACAAUUUAUACACUAUAUUUUGUGAAUAUGACAAUUUGUACACUAUAUUAUGUGGAAUUAUUGCCUGGACCUGGUCUACAGUCCAUGUUAGGCAGAAUUUUGGUUAUUGAGAGAGCAUGUAGAAACAAGAGAGCACUUAAUUAAUGGCUAUGUUUUACAGUUUUACUUGUCUGAUUUGUUAGGGAUAUUCUCAAGCAGUGUCCUAUCAGAUCAAUUUCAGAUCAAGUUGGUGGGUACCUUGAUCCACGGAUGUCCUGGUAGAUCAGUUUAUGCAUCAGCUCUGCCAUGUGCAUCAUAGGUGAGGCAUGAAUGGAAUUUAACAGUGGAAAAUAACGUGAAAUUUUAACCCAAAUAUCUUUAUGUUAGGGAUUUUAACCGGUGACCUCAUGUGAUGAGAGGCGGGUUUACGGUCGGCUUUAAUACCAUAUUACCCAAGAUCACUAAGCAGAUUGGAAAUAACUAGGAAUAUUCUUAAUAUUACUGGCCCAAUCACCCAUAAGCGAAGGAAAUCUAUGCACUGACAAGCACUUGUCAUCUUUUAGCUUUAGCCUGAUGGGAGUCCAGACAAUCAAGUCUCAAAUUGCAGUGGAUCUUCUGUUGCUCAUUUUGGUCUAUAGCAUUAUUAUGAUGCCUACAUCCAACAGAAUAAUUGCACCAAAGCAAUCAGCUAUAGCAUUUUGGGACCUGAAACCCUGCCCUUUGUUGAAUAGACAUGGUCAGAGUAACAGUGGACUAGUGUUAUUUAAUUUAUCCUCUGCUUCCUUUCUUUCCAUCUGUUCAUGCAAAAUAGUAUGUUCAAGCACUGUUUUUAACUUUAAUGUAUCACAUGAUAGGAAUCAGAGUACUGCUACAUGACCCCAACAAUAUGUUAUUACACAUGAUGUGAAGAUUUUUGUUGUCAUGCACGCAAUCUAAAAAUAUCAUAUAUUUUUGUCAUUGACAACUUUCUAAAAAACCUAAGGCAUUUUCGUAGAAAUUUUCUUUUCUUCUCUUUUCCAUCCGUCUAUUAUUACGAGUCCCUGUAUUGAAAGACCCGCAAACACAAAUUGUCCAUUGAGUGAAUGGUCAUUCAAUAUUCUCCAACAUCUGCUCCUAUUUUCCUUGUUUCACUGUUGCUUUUCCUUGUGAAUGGUCAUAAAUAACUGCAACCACUCAGAAUUAUGCAUAUUCAACUGAAAGAUUCUCUUGUAACUUAUUCUGCCCACUUCUUGUUCUUUUUCUCUUUCUAGUCUUUUGCUUUUCCUACUAGAACAAAACCUCUCUUUGAAUUGAGAGAAGCUUCUGCUUCACCAACUAGAUGCUUCUUUGGGUUCCAAUGCAUUACCUACUUAGAAAAUAAUACAUCUCACCUGUGCCAUGUUGUUACCUAUUAGACUAAGCUCUUUAAAUAUUUUCUUAGCCUUAUGGUGGUAGUUGGCAAUUGACCAUUACCAUUUUAGUUUAUCUGGGAAAAGAUAUUAUUUAAUAAUAAUUUCAAACAAUAGAAAAUUUAACUCUUUUUUUUCCUGCUUGGUCUUAAGCAAAUUAAGAGAGAAUGAACAGUGAAGUGUUACAAGAAAUUACAAUGUUUAUAACAGUGUGCACAUUAUGUUCAGUUGUCAAAACCAUUUUCUCCUACUGAGAUCAAUCAUCUCAUAUGUGGAAUAUACUAUUCUAAAUUCACGGCGUUGAGACCUUACAGGGCACUGGAAGCAGUUUCCUACAUUUCAAUUCCAGAAGAAUAUAUAAUCCACACAAGUUAUCACUCAGUAACUUGUUUCUGACAUCGAAACAGGUCUUUGAUCAAUGGAUUCUAGAAAUAGAAACCCAUUUCUUAUCUUAGAGAGCCUGUUUUAUUUUUGCUGAAAUGGAUCUCCAGAGAUUCUGAUGCCAAACCUUUCAGGGCCAUCAUGAUCAGCUAUAAAUCGUGCACACACUUAAUCUCACACACGAGACCUCCACAAUGCUUGUAACUCGAAAUCACUCUAAAUGCUGGGAAUUUAUUUACUAAACUUAGCGUCCUCUUCAAUCCUCCCUAUCAUCUGAUACACAGUUGUUGCAAUCUCAUCCACAGAAGUAAAAUGGCAAUCAUCCGCUACCUGCCAAAUAAAAGACAAAGAGAUGCAUUAGCUUUGCAAUUUCACAAUACCAAAACGUUGGUAAGGGGGGAAAAAAUGUCACCUCCAUUGUAUUAUACCUUAAGGCUAAAUGAGUAGAGAACCAUGUCAUCCACAGUGGUCACAUUCAGAUGCAGCGGUAUGAACCGGAGAUUUUGCAACCCUGCCACCAUCUUCAGAAGCUGUUUUGGCUGCCGCUUCGACAGAACCUUGAGAUUGACAUGGCUCUCGACCACCGUCACCUCAAUGUCAGCUACUGCUGAUUGGUUGUCAGUAACCGUUCCGCUGUUGCUGCCGCCGCCGCCGCCUCUGCCAGAGAAGCUCGAGUACUGGGGAAAGGCAAAGAAGUUGGCGAAGGGAGAAGCGAGACUGGUCGAAUCAGUCUGCACUUGCUUUAGCCUCUUUUGGACUUCGAGGGACUGGAGAAGUUGCUCGAGCUCCUUCACGUAAUUUAUCGCGCCACCGACAAUUGAUGCUUGAUCACCCUAUACUCCAAGGACAGAAAGAUAAGCUCUGAUGGACUUGGAUGCUUUAGUAUUUACAUCAUUCGAAAAAUGUUUAUGACACAACUAAAACGACGAGAUGAAUAUAUGUACCCUCUGGACAUAGGAGGGGGGCAUAAGUGACCGGAGAAUGGCCAGGUACUCGUUCAUUUGCCGACGGCGGUUGCGCUCGACAGCAAUGUGGGUCAUCCUCUGGCUCUCCACCUCCUCCAUAUUCUUAACACUCCUCGUCCGCCGCCUCUUCCUCCGUCCAUCCACAGCCUUCAUAGCCUCCUCCCCCUCCGCCUCCACCGCCACGCCCCAAACUUCAGCCGACGAGGAGUUAAUCUCCCACUCAUCUAGAUUUUGCACAAGAGAAGAAGAUGAAGGGUUCCAGUUCUCACCAACCCAACCACCCAUCUCACAUUCUGACAUUUCCAUCUCCUCCACCACCACCAUAUUGGCUAAGUCAUUGCCCCAUAUUCCUCCCAUAUUGGUGUAUAAUUCCUUACAAUUGUAACCAAAUAUGUCUUGUGGGAACACCACGGCUUCUAAUGCCAUCUCUCUCUCUCUCUCUCUCUCUCUCUCUCUCUCUCUCUCUCUCUCUCUCUCAAUCUUUGAAGCUAAAUAGUGGCACAAGAAGAAGCAUACCCAACUUAUAGCUUUUCUCCCAAUGGGGAAGAGGGUGGGCUUUUUAAAGGCAACAAAAGGGAGCAGAGAGAAACAAGCAGAGGCCACGUGAGAGCAAGGGAGGGGGGAAGACACUCUGUGUGAUUUUUUUUGUGUUGGGGGAAGUAAAAUUGCAAGGCUACAGCAAAUAUAAACAGGGUAUGUAUUGGGCAGUGGUGUCUCUUAGACCCUUUUGUUUGAUUUGCAAAUAAUGGGACAGGCAUCUGCGAAGAUAUCGCGUGCACCAAGUGCUCCUGCGAAUUCAUGUACCGCACUGCUGUCAUCUAUCUAUCUUUCAAUCUAUCUGGCGUUUUGAUCCAUGCCGUAUAGUAAGUUGCAGUUUUUUCUCUAAUUACAAAUUGACUGACUGGAUUAAACAGAAGUAUGUGUUGAAAGAUUAGAUGACUUUCAAAAGCUAAAUGCAAAAUUAUAAGAUAUUAGAUGUGAUCUUUAAUCUCUAAGAAGUACGCAUUCAAAAGAUUGUAGUUUGUGAAAGCCUAGCUAUUUGUAAGGAAUCAAGUAGCUCCAAAGUCAAUAGUGCUGAAAAAAAGACUAUUGCUCAUCAGAUGACAAAAAUAUUUCACAAAAUUAUGAGUUAUAAGGCUAAGUUAAUGGGAGGGUGAGACCCCACCAUGCCUUGUUUAAGUGCAAGUUGUGUGAUUUUUCCAAAUGAUCAUUUGGAUUGUUGGUUUGGUUUUCUCCCUUAUGGGCUUGAAUUUUCUAAUCUUAGUAAAUUUGUUGAGAAUAUUAUCUUCGUUCUACUCUUAUUAAGUCUCCUACUCAAAGAGGGGAGCUUGUGAAUUUGCUACAUAGAAUCAUAUAGUACUUCAUAGGUUGUACAAUCUAAUAAUUUGGUUGCUGAAAUAAUUGAGAGCCUUCUCUAUCACUACUACAGGAAAAAGGAAAGGAUACAAUACUCACUAGGUUCUACCUAAUAAUUUUUAUGAUAGUGCAACUACAAUCUACAUGCAUGCUGAGUACCAAGUUGAACUGUUGACAAAAGUGAUAUUAUUGUUGAUACACUUAUCUAGUUUCCAAAACUAAUUUCUUUUCCAAAGCCAUACCUAACAUGGUGUAAUGCACCCUAUUGAUGCCACAAUCAAACACAGUGAGAAGGAAAUGUUUACUUAAAACCUUGUAAAAUAACACAUUCUUUUUUCUUUUUUGUGGAAAAAAUAAGCACUGUGACAAGAUGCGUGCUUAUGGAGAACGAUCAAGAUGGUGAUGGCAUUACAAAACCACCAUUUUGUGAUGACGGAUUAAACUUCUUAAAUCAGCGGCUAAGCACCGGUUUUUUCUUUAAACACACCCCGGCAUUCGACAAAAUCCAAUAUUUGGCAGGAGCUGACGUUUUGGAAUUUCCUAAUUAUUUUUUAAUAUUACUGGGAAUUCAUGAUGGCCACGAGAUGUGGCCUUUCUCUUCAAGGCAACACACAAAAGCACAUCUAAACACUGCUCUUAAUAUAAAAUUAAAGGCGAAAACCAACUGGCCCCGUCUCUUAAUCUUUCUCCCUAAUCCUCGUUUACUCGAUUCGAUUGAAAGAUUUGAGCCGCGACUAACAAAUUAAGAACAGUGCAAGUUGCUUCCUCCCUUGUCCUCUGUUAACUACAAUAAGGCUAUUAUUGAAAAGUAGCAGAAUCAAACUUGUUAUCCUAAUUAAUGUCAACUUAACACCACUGGAAGAUACAAUUAGUAACUUAAAAUAAGUUGAUCAAGACAAAAACCUAAUCAAUCUACUGUGUUACUUAACAUGUUGGACUGCACCCUGUCGUCCUUAGCCUGGUCCAAUUAGCACAAUUGAGUUAUUAUAAGCUGAUUAUGUUGCGGUGAAACAUCGUCUAUAGAUUCGGAAUAUCGCCGAUAGAUUUGGUGGGAUCAGUUGAUUACAGAGUCGGAUUGAGUUGAUCCGGUGACCUGAAUCCGGCGAGUCCACAUGUGGGGGAUGAUUCACCCAAUUAAUUUGGUGUGAACAAGGGCCCCAUAAUGUGGUCCAGGGUGUACCAAAACGGUAAGGAAAGAAUGACUUGGUUCUGAUUUCAGUUCAAAGAAAUUAUUAUGUGGACCGUGGUCUAUAGACCGCAGGCUCUCCAAAACUCAAGUAUACAGGCACUAAAAUUUGGAUGUAAAUGCAUGUAAGAUUAAAUGUUGAACAUCGUAGUUCUUAUUGCCUAAUGUAAGGCUUUAUCUUUGAGUUUUGGAGACUCCGGUGUAUUGAGCGCGGUCCAUGCAUUUGUGUUUUUUUUUUUUUUUUUUUUUUUUUUUGGCACUCAUUUUGUUGUUCGAAUGUUUCUGGAAAAGGCUUUGUUUAUUGUAUGGGCCGUGGAGAAUCAGAAGGGUAUCAAAUGUGGGGCUUUUGGAUAGCCGCGCACGAAAUGGUUUGGUUCAGUGCAUGGUUUACUCCAGGUGUGAAAACAUUGAAGUAACAGCAUUUGCAAACUUGUUUGUAUUAGGCUACUAAUUGUUUUCUUUUUUUUUUUUAUAGCAUUCUAUUGAUUGUAUGAAUCACUUCUCUCAAUAAGAUUUCCUCCAAUGCACCAGCUCAAGCGCGGGGUUGUUUCACAUGUCCUGAUGUUAGAGUAAGAGAUCAUGAGAAGCCGAUGUUUUAAAACUGUUGGAUCAUUUGCGCUAAUUAUUAAUUCUAAAAGUUUGAACUGUUAGAAAGAUGUGAUCAAUUUACUAAAGCAUACAGACACCACGCACAUGGGUUUCAAUUGUGAUUCAGUCCAACUAGUCUCAUGCCACUUUGAAUGUUAUUCGUCUCAAUCCGAUCACUCGUUAUUUCGAAAGUGACUCGACCCAACUUAACUUCUCGUCAUAGAAAAAAAUAUUAGUUCCUUUAAUCCCCAAAACUAUCAAAACAAAUCAAAGAGUGUUAGAUAUAAAAACAUUAAUACCGACGUUCUCUACAACUUAAUAACUUUUAUGAGCAACAAACAAUUAUUUCGCAUCACGAGCGGCGAAAGUCCGACCAGGUUUUUAACUCAGACAGAACUCAACUUAGACCUUAUAUGUGGAUUCCUUUUGUAUAACAAGUUGGCUGUAGGCUUCCUAAUUUGAAGAAACGUCUCAAACUAACUAUACGGCGCAGAAUACUUCUGCGCUUAUUCGCAAUGGGCUUAUGUCCUUUGCCAUCUAAGCUAAGACAGCUAGGUGAGACGGAUUAUCAUGUUGUGUCGUUAUUUUUGUAAGGUAAACCAUGAUUCGUCAUUAUCGCGGUCAGAAAAAAAAAACAAAUCCCAAUUUUUUUUUGAAAAAAAAAAAGGCAAACUAUUCGUUCUGUUUAUUUUAAAAAAAUAAAUUCAGCUAAAAAUAUAAACUUUAAAUAUAAAAUUUCGAAUAUCAACUAUCAAAUAUCAAAUUUUUAACUAAUUAAGCUAAAUAUAUAGUUCGUACUGCGUCUCCUCGAUCUGCUUAUUGGGUAGGUACAAAUACACAUGCAUGUAGCUUGUUGUCGCUUCCUCCCCUGCAACAGUACUGCUACAGAUUCAAGUGCAGAAACUCAGCUUUUUUUUUUCUCCAAUAAACCAAACCUGAAUUUCAAACGUUUCCCUGGGUUGUGCCAGCUGGCGCAGAAUCUAGUAUUUCUCGUAGAUCGAAGCAUUCUUUGCUGACGUGGCAGCCUACGAGUCGAUGUGUGUACGGUAAGAUAGAGGAAAAAUUCUAGAAUGUAACGGACAUAUUGGUGACAUGACGUAACAAAUCAAUCAAAUAUCUUCAUUUAGAAGUAUAUGUUCCAUCAUAAUUGUAAAAAAAUAUUUUUAUUGUACUUUUGUUUGAAAAGAAGGAAUGUGAUUGACUUGCUAAUUGAUGACGUGGUGCAAGUGCGAUACUGUAGAAUACCUCGAGGUAGAGACCCAAUAGAUGCCCGAGAAAUUAUUCCAUGGACCGCGGCCUGUAGACCCGGAUCGAUCUCCUUUAACUCAAUUAAAAACGCCCGAACACAAAUUUUUUAAAAAUUAUUACAUUUGAUCUACAAAAAUAAUAAGUGAUUAUGAUUACAAAAACCAACGGUGCUAAAAUAUCUACUACUCGUUAUAAAAUAAAAUUAAAAGUAUGAUGAGAUUCGAACUUAAUAUUUCAAAAUAGUUUACUUACUAUUUAUGUGGUAUUGCACUCUUAAAAUUGUAGAACUAAUUUUGGUAAUUAUGGUAGAUGCAUGUAACGCUGCGAUUAAAAGUAAUCUAAGCAAUAAUAUGAAUACUUUUCCGAGAACAAUAUGUAACACAGGCCCAUUCUUCUCCUGUUCCACCUAACCAAAAUCUUUCUCAACAAUAAGCAAACAGGUAGGUUCCGACAUUCAUGCUACUGUAAUGGUGCCCGUUUUGUCACAUGCAUCAAACCUAUGUGCCAGGCUCCUCCUAGGGCUAGGGUUUCGAAGAUAUAUAUGCCAUCAACUGUGACAAAAAAACAGUCAUUUUUCCGCAUAAAAACACUACUACUGGCAUGAGAAUCUACCUAUGUUAUUUUUAAGAGUACUGAUGCCAGUAAUUAAAUUUGGAAGGUGUUUUUAAAAAGGUUGCUUGUAUACUGAAAAUAUUGUAUCUGAUCAAUACAUCUUUUAAAACUAUGAAGGAACAGUUGAUCGGUGUUGUAUAUAGAUACCGAGUAACGGUAGAUUCCUGCGUGUUUCAAAUUUGUUAAUAAUAGUAGUUCAAUGUUGUAUAAAAACAAAAAUCUCAGUCCAUAUAUAUAUAAAUUUCACUCUUUAUCAUGAGUUUUAACUUUUUGGAUUGAUUUUCAAAAUAUGAAGGGUCUCCACCACUUUUGAUUUUUCUAAUUUUGUUUGAGUUGACAAAAUCAUCAAGAGCUCAAAUGCAAAUAAUCUAGAAUAUCAAGGACUAUAUAUUAAAUUUUCUCUUCUCGAGACCCUAGUUGUCUCAUCUCUGUAGCCUAAUUCAUUUAUUCAAUGAAUGAAGCAUGCUAUCUAUUCUCAAAAAAAAAAAAAAAAAAACAUGUUUUUUGGGGCACGAGCCCUUAUAACCAGGCCAAAUAACCUUGUCGGCAGGAGAAUCUAAUGAAUAGUUUAUUUAGGUCCGUACACAUGCAAUUCUUUUUUAUUUUAUUUUUUAGGAAAAUACACAUGCAAAUUAAGUAGAAGGGAAUUUAAUAUGUCUCCGAGGGAUCAAUAUUUUGGUGUGAUUAGUUGUGGAAUAAUUUUGAGGUGAGUGCUUUAAAUUGAACCCAGUAAUUAAAUCAAAUAUAUAACAAACCAUGUUUCCUCACCACAUUCUAUAUAUAUAUAUAAAUAGUUGCAUAUAUGCCACAACAAGAGACAAAUUUAAUUUAUGGCUUUGUGUGGUCGUCAACAUUUGUUCGUCGUGAACUUUAGGUCGCAAUUGCAUGAUGACAUUUUCCACGACCGAGUCUGUGGAAUAAUAUUACAAAUUUUAAGCAUUUUAUUUAAAUUAGAAAUCAAAGCUUUAGAUUGGAAAAAAAAAAAAGUUUCAAAGGUUCGGCCAAGGAAGCAUUUCAAUAGUUAAAUUAAAACUCUAAAUUCAAUUAGAAAACAUGAACAUGGCCGAAUUCGGGACUGGAUUUAGCAGGACAGAUUCGAAAUGGAUUGUGGACAUAUAUAUAUCUAGCUUCAUUCAUUUAACGGAUUCGGACGAGGACUCCACCAAUGUGAAAGAGUCUCAAAUGGCCCCAGUGUCUCGUCACGUUUAUUUCCUUUUGGACUUAGUUGGGUCGAGCCAUGCAUUUGGAUUCGAACACGUCCCACGGCAUGGACACGAGCGCGACAAAGCGACCGAGUCCGAACGAGCGUUAAAUUGUCGCGGCGCGUUUGGACGUAGCGCAAAUACGACAUUUGUCCACAUAUGAGCCAUCCACGUGGCAAGUAUGUUGAUUAUUGGCUCAUUGGGCCCCAUCUCCACGGUCCAACCUGGAGAACUUUCCAUCGAUGCAUUAUUAAGGAGCCUCCGUGCAACCACCACCAAGUAUCAGUUUUAUUUUUAUUCCAGAGUUCAAAUUUUUUCUUCUAAAAUUUUAAAUUUUUUUUAAAAAAAUUUGUAUCAUAAAGCACCUAAUAAAUUUUAGAUGAAGAUAAAAUUAAUACAUGGUAGAGAAUAGGACACGCUAAAUGAGGUGUCACUGGAAAGCUCCACUACAACAGAAUUAGAUUAUAGGGACACAUGUUUGAGACACUUUUGAGUAAGUGUCUCAUUUAUGCUAAAACUUAAAAACACAUCUACUAAUGCCUAAAUAUAAAGCCCAAUCUAACCAAAAAUAAAAGAUUGCUCUACUCAAUCCACCACACCCAGUCCAUUUGGCCCGAUUACAAACAGAAAAGAAAAAAAAAAAAAAAAUUAAUUACCAUCUUUUCUUCUCUCUUCACUCAAUCCACUGAAAUUCUAGAUGAAGGGCCUUUACUGUCGUCCUCCUCCGCCACCGCAGCCAACGAGAUAGAGUUUCGGCUGUUGCUAAAUGCUUAAAUAAGUGUUGGUAAAUUAGCAGCACUCUUUUAGAUUAUAGCGACACUCUUUAACUGUCACAAUAUACCUAGCGACCCCAUAUAUAGCAACACUUUUUAAAAGUGUCGGUAAUUUUAGCUAGCAGCACUUUUUUGAUAUGUACCUACAUUUAAAAGUGUCGCUAUAGACCGUUUUUGUUGUAGUGCUCCCUGAUGAAAUUUUAUCCACGUACCUUGUCUCGCACUAAACCGCUUUUCCCCGCUAAACAACCAACUCCAACCCCUGUUUUUAGUAGCUUAUUGCCUCAGCCCAGUCAGCCCCGUUAUCAGUGCACCAGCCAAUUAAAUUACGUUAUCUAAGUUUAUUUCCAAUCACUACCAUCAACUUGGUAGCAAUUCUAUUUUUCGCGUUUAAAAUGAUUUUGUGUAGAUUUAUCAGUUAUUAACAUAUGAUGACGAACAAGGUCCAAGCAACAUUACUUUCCUCUGAAGUUACAAAUUUCUAUUUAAUGUUUUGAAAUUAGCUAGAAAAUGGUUUAAUAUUCUAGCCUAUAUGCAUGUGGUGACUUAAGAACAAUAUUUUCGAAUAGCUUGCUUGUGCAUAUAGUAACAUUAUCAAAAAGUUUGGAGGCGUUCACUGCUGACGAAUGCAUUCGAGCCAUUCAAUGCAAAAAGCUUAAAUACAUACAUCCAGUUUCUGAUAAGCAGCGGAAUUGUAUAUAUCCUGUACGAGCGCUCGGCUUGCGUACAACAAGUGCCCAAUGUUUGAUAACAGGAAUAUAUAAUUAAGAUCAUGCGAUGCAGGACGAGUUCACAUGAGGAUCAGGAUAUCUAUGUAUCAAGGACCAGACACACUGAGAGGAAGGGGACAAUCUAUUUUUAACCUAUAGACCCUUCUCUCAGGUCAAAAUAUUCCACUCACACAAAUCAUAUGCUCCCUUGAAUACAACCACUGGAUCCUGUUAAUUUACGAGCCAAUUUUGUACUAGCUAGCUAGUAAAAUUUCACACUUUUGUGCACACGUAGUGACAUCUAGUGAUAUAGAUAUACAUGUCUACACUUUCGUGCGUCCCCAUAUAUAUAUUUUUUCUUUAUAUUUCCACGAGGUUUUAUGUCUUUCAUGGCCACAGUAGAAUCGUUGCUUUGCCUCUCAAAGUUAGCUUGAAUGAUAUAUAAGCGGGAAAAAGAAGAUUAUGAAGAUGCUAUUUUAACCUGAGUUCUAAAGCAUCAUUGAUUCUACUAUUUAGUGGUAGAAAAAGAAUGUAUCUAAUUCAGACGUACGUGUUUGACAAAUUCUCUUUUUUUUUUGUUCUGAAAUAUUAGUAGGUAGUGCAGCUGCUACUCUAGUCGAGGAGAGAAGCAUAUUAUUGUUGUUAGGGUUGUCGAUCUCAUGGUUGUAAUCGGCUAUAAGUUUUGUAGUUCGUCGAUUAAAAAUUUCAUUUUCCGGAUUAAUUAGUUCAUUUGGACGGUUUAAUAUAUAUAUAUGCUUGAGUAUUGCUUGUUUGAUAUAGCUUGUAUAAAUAAGGUGAGCUUGAAAUUAAUCCAGUUGGGUUACAUAUUAGUUUCCGUUUCUAAAAAGAAAAAAAAAGAAAGAACUAAAAGAGAAGAAAGGGUGAUCAGUUCCAUAUAAAAUAUAAAUCGAGAGAUUUAAAAUCAUUGAUAUGUCGUAAUAGGGUCAUCUUUACUAAUUAGAAUGAGUUUGAGGACUUUUCACGGUUUCUCUCCUUUCGCACAACAACAUAUAGUAAUGGUUUCAAGCAUAAAGGCUUAAACUUUUGCACUAGACAGAUUUUAUUAGAAUUGUCACACUCUGAGCUUAUGGCAAGUAACUGAUCUAUUAGUUAAUAAUUAUUCAUUAAAAAUGACAAAGGAAGAAAUAAGGAAUAUGUAUAUCUGAUCUGAAAUUAUCUACAUAACCAUAAAAGGAGGGGGAAAAUCAAAUUUAAGGCUUGAACUAUAUUUGGUUCAAGCAAGCGAUACGUCACUUCUCUACUUCUAAUUCGUCGACAACAAUAAUGUGAACCAAACUUUGAUUAAGUGAAUCAUUUGUUGGUUCAUUAUAUGGAUAAACAAAUGCUGCAUUUUUCACUUCAGCUCGGCCUGUUUCUCCAUCCUUGUGCUUGCUUUCAUAGCCUGCAAAAAACACACCAAGAGAGUAUGGAUUGAAAUGAAAUCGGAUUGAAAUGAAAUUUAGAAAAUUAUGAAAAAAAAAGACCAAAAAUUUAAUAAUCUCACCUCCUUAUCCCAAUCACACCGGAUCGUUAGAUAUGCGAGUAUUAAUGUUUGAACUGCAGUUCCACCAAUCAUUCCGGCCCAUAUACCCUGUAAAUAUCAUAGGGGUCACAAAUGGACAAUUAUAUAUCUUAGGUCAUAGUUACAAGAUCCAAAUAAAAAGACAUGAAAUAUUUUCUUCUUUUUUUCGCUUUUUGUUCCAAUUGCGAUGAAUCACAAAGCUUGCAUAAAUUUCAAGUUAAGGAGUAAUUGUAAUGCUUAGAAAAUUUGAAAAAUAAUUAUAAAAUUAACGACGCAUAGGGCAAAAUAACUUGAUUCUUGGUUAGAUAUAUAUAACGAAUAUACCUCGCUAAUUUUGUUAUAACUUUGUUCAAUCUAAUAAGAAGCAAGUACAGCAAUAAUGUAGCUAAGGAGUAAUUAAAGAAACAAAGCAUACCAAAACCCCCAAAUGGAAGAGCCAUCCCAUAAGAACUCCCAAAGGAAUUCCAAUGAGAUAGUAUGACCCAAUGUUAACAUAAGCCACCAAAGCUUGCCACCCAGACCCCACAGCUACACCUACAUUAAUUAAUUACAUGCAAACACACCAACAUUAGAAAAAUUCCAAGUCACCAUAAGUAAAACUAUAUCUAUAUAUAUAUAUAUAUAUAUAUAUAUGUGUGUGUGUGUGUGUGUGUGUGUGUGUGUGUGACAAAAGAGCUAAAGAAUAAGAAGCAAAAUAAUGUACUGAGAGGUGAAUAAACUCACCGGAUAGAACAGGUUGUAUGCUGUUUAGGAGGAUAGUGAAAGCCAAUAGAAUAGAAAGCUUAUCGACUGCUUCUAAUACUACUUCACUUGACGUGAAGAUUAGCGCGAACUUGUCGUGGAGACUCAUGAUCAAGACGCAGAAGAAGAGGCCUAUUAUAAUUGAAGUUACCACGGAAACUAUCGUCGCAAAUCGGGCGCCCUUUCCAUUCCCCGCACCAAGUUCGUUGGCAACUCGGACUCUUUAGAUCAUAAGAAUAAGCAUUAUAUGAGAUACCAUAAGAUGUGCGAUAAUCUCUUGAUAUUUGCUUUGUAGUUGUACAAAAAAAGUAAAGAGAGAUUUAGGGUUAAGUGUUCUAAUUAAGAAAUGAAUUGCAAAUCAUAAAGCAACAUAUAUAGUUGAUAGUUGAUUAAACAAGAAUGUUAAACUUGGGUCCGGUUGGCUUCGGUCCGAGCUCAACUAUUUCGGCUCAUUUUGAUUUUGAAUUCAAUGCUCGAGCUGGCCCAAUCAAUCUCGAUCGAAAGAAGCCCAUAUUACCUACCUUGGACAACGUGGUCCAUGACGACACUAAACAGGAUGGGCCUGAGCCCUUCUUUUGUGUGUGUGUGUAUAUAUAUAAAAAUAUCGACAUAUACUAAAAGGUGUGAUAACAUAUCAAUAUUAAAUUUAGGUAAUUUUCAUCCGUACAUAAAGACCAAUUUCAACAUAUUUUUUGUGAUUAAUGGUACGGAAGCUAUUAGUGUCAAUAAAUAAGUAAUUAAAAAAAAAUCUCUUUCUUUGAAUUGGACGAUAUUUCAUUUCUUUAAUUAUUGAAGUAUAGUUUCAACUAACUAGGAGUUGAGUGAUCACUUAAUUGCGUGCUCCUUUCUAACUAAAUACCCUACAAUUUUCUCAGGUAGUUUUAGCAAACAAGGGGAAUUUCCCUAUCACAAGGGUGGUGCUGCUGAUCAAAUAGAGUGAUUCAUCCUAGCAAAAGAACAAAAGAGAUGAGGCCAAAAAAAAGAAGAAGAUCAAACAAUUUUUAUCAUGUAACCAUGCAAAUAGAUUUGUUCGUGAAAAUUAAUUGAGUCAUUUGUUUUGUGAGUAAGUCUCUUGUGAGAUGAAUACACACACAUUUUAAAAUUUGUAAUUUUAAUAGUCGAUACGAGGCGUUUUCUCGUUUAACGGCUUAAAAAUAUCCAAAUCAAUUGAAUUUUUGUUAGAAAAUUUUUUAAACUAUUUAAAACAAGAUCUAUACUCUUGAUUUUGAUUACAAGACUCCUAUCAUCAUUUUUUAAAGAAUAUUCAUUUUCAGCCGUUUAUUUUUGUGUCCACUCGAUGGAUAAGAGAACAAUAUCGAAAAUGUAUGAAAUUUAAUUUCUAAAUACUUCAAGUGGUAUAGAUAAUGUUCAACGGUGCAGAUCAUCAAUUUGAAGGUUCUAUCAUCGAAAACAAAUGGGUGGCAACAUGGCCCGUUUGCUAUUGAUAGUAUUCUAGCUCAACUCUCUCUCUCUCUCUCUCUCUCUCUCUCUCUCUCUCUCUCUCUCUCUCUAUAUAUAUAUAUAUAUAUAUAUAAAAGAUGUAACAAUUUGCGGUUCUUGACUAUUAGGCUCAAUACCUAAAAAGUGUCAAGCAUUAAUUAUAUUACACACACACAUAUAGAUAUAUAUACACACACGUAUAUCAGAUGUCACAAUUUGUGGUUCUCAAUUAUUAGGCUCCGUAUAUACCUAAAAAGUGACAAGCAUUAAUUAUAUUAUGUUUAGUUGGCACCUUCAUCGAAUCUAUGUGGGACACACACACACACACACACACACACACACACACGUAUAUAAGAGGUAACAAUUUGUGGUUCUCAAUUAUUAGGCUCCAUAUAUACCUUACCACACACACACGUAUAUAAGAGGUAACAANGUGUGUGUGUGUGUGUGUGUGUGUGUGUGUGUGUGUGUGUGUGUGUGUGACAAAAGAGCUAAAGAAUAAGAAGCAAAAUAAUGUACUGAGAGGUGAAUAAACUCACCGGAUAGAACAGGUUGUAUGCUGUUUAGGAGGAUAGUGAAAGCCAAUAGAAUAGAAAGCUUAUCGACUGCUUCUAAUACUACUUCACUUGACGUGAAGAUUAGCGCGAACUUGUCGUGGAGACUCAUGAUCAAGACGCAGAAGAAGAGGCCUAUUAUAAUUGAAGUUACCACGGAAACUAUCGUCGCAAAUCGGGCGCCCUUUCCAUUCCCCGCACCAAGUUCGUUGGCAACUCGGACUCUUUAGAUCAUAAGAAUAAGCAUUAUAUGAGAUACCAUAAGAUGUGCGAUAAUCUCUUGAUAUUUGCUUUGUAGUUGUACAAAAAAGUAAAGAGAGAUUUAGGGUUAAGUGUUCUAAUUAAGAAAUGAAUUGCAAAUCAUAAAGCAACAUAUAUAGUUGAUAGUUGAUUAAACACGAAUGUUAAACUUGGGUCCGGUUGGCUUGGGUCCGAGCUCAGUUAUUUCGGCUCAUUUUGAUUUUGAAUUCAAUGCUCGAGCUGGCCCAAUCAAUCUCAAAAGAAGCCCAUAUUACCUACCUUGGACAACGUGGUCCAUGACGACACUAAACAGGAUGGGCCUGAGCCCUUCUUUUGUGUGUGUGUGUGUGUGUGUGUAUAUUUAAAAAAAUCGACAUAUACUAAAAGCUAUGAUAUAACAUAUCAAUAUUUAAUGAGACAUGCAUCACAUACAUUAAAUUUAGGCAAUUUCCGUCCGUACAUAACGACCAAUUUUAACAUAUUUUUUGUGAUUAAUGGUACGGAAGCUGUUAGUGUCAAUAAAUAAGUAAUUAACAAAUCUCUUUCUUUGAAUUGGAUGAUAUUUCAUUUUUUUUUUCUUUUUUUUUUUGAGAGAGAUAGGUAGCACGCUACCCGCUUCAUUUAUUUCAUUUAGAAAUAAACUAAGCUGGAAAUGUGAAUCAACUAUGAUUCAAACUUGGGUCUCAGGUAUCAACCACCAAGCCCUUUAAUACUUGCUCUAGGGAUGGCUGGUUCAUUUCUUUAAUUAUUGAAGUAUAGUUUCAACUAACUCGGAGUGAGUGACCUAAUUGCAUGCUCCUCUCUAACUAAUUACCCUACAAUUUUCUCAGGUACGUAGUUUUAGCAAACAAGGGGAAUUUCCCUAUCACAAGGGUGGUGCUGCUGAUCAAAUAGAGUGAUUCAUCCUAGCAAAAGAACAAAAGAGAUUUGUUUGUGAAAAUUAAUUGAGUCAUUUGUUUUGUGAGUAAGUCUCUUGUGAGAUGAAUACACACACAAAUAUAUAUAUAUAUAGGGUCCGGCUACUAUCGUAUCGGUAACAUGGAGGCCUCCAUGCUACCAAGUUGUUUUCAAUGAUGCCGCUUCCAAAUCGACGAUCAGCUCGGUUAGACUUGAUCUACACUAUUAAAAAUAUUUGGAAACUAAAUGUCAUAAUUUUUCGACAUCAUUUGGUUAGUAAUCAAAAGGUCUCAAAAUUGACAAUUUUAAUGAUAGAUGUGAUGUAUUUGUGAAUUUAACGGUGUAAAACAAUUCAAAUCUGAUAAAAUUUUUAUGUAUAUAUAUUUUUUCUAUUUAGAGCCAGAUCAGUAUCUCUGAUCUUAAAUUCAAGUCUUUUAUCAUCAUUUUUUAUAAAAUUUUUAUUUUUGGCCGUUCAUUUUUAGAUUACUCGUUUGAUAGCCAAAUGAUGUCGAAAAAUUAUGAAAUUUAUUUUCCAAAUACUUUUAAUAGUGUAGAUCAAGUCUAACGAAGCCAAUUGUCGAUUUGGAAGCGGCAUCAUUAAAAACAACUUGGUAGCACAGAAACUUUCAUGCUACCGAUAGUAUACCAGCCUAGCGCGCUCGCUCUCUCUCUCUCUCUCUCUCUCUCUCUCUCUCUCUCUCUCUCUCUCUCUCUCUCUCUCUCUCUCUCUCUCUCGUAAUUAUAGUAUAUUAUAUAUAUACUUAUAUAUAUAAAGAUCGUUAACAAUUUGCGGUUCUUGCACUAAUAGGCUCAAUACCUAAAAAGUGUCAAGCAUUAAUUAUAUUAACACACACAUAUUAUAUAGAAUAUAUAUAUAUAUACUUACACGUAUUAACCGUAUAUCAGAUGUAACAAUCUGGGUCUAAUAUAGGCCCACUAGUUAAAAUAUCUACACGAUGCUGCGGGAUUUUUUUUUUUAACAAUUUUAGUUUUUUAUAUUUUCAAUAAAUUUAUUAAGUCUAAUCUAUUAAUUAAAAGUAAAAGUUAUAUAAAAAUAAUUUAAUGGUUAAAUUUUAUAGUUAAAUAAAAUUUAUUAAAAUGGACAAUUAUUUUUAUAAAGAUUUAUGCAAAAAGAGAUUUGUUGAUAAAUCAUAUUCAAUAUAAUUAUAAAAAAAUAAAGUUAGAAGGAAAAUAAAAUAAUGAAAGAAUUGGUUUAAUAAAAUAUUAUAUAUACACCAUCACGCACUAUAUUUUAUAAAUCCUUCUCCUCAAUUUAAAUUAUGUAUUUUUUCUAUGUAUCAUCGAUCAAAUUAGGAUUUUAUUUAUGCGAUUUAUUAUGGCUGUAUUAUUAAUAUCAUUAAUUAGAUUAAUAUGUAUAUACAAUGAUUUAUUAAUAAAAUUAAUUGAAUUAAUUUAAUUCAUAGGAGUUUAGAGAUUUAAAAAUUUUUAGUUUGUAAGUUUAAUUGAAAAAUAUAUAUUUAAAUUAAAUUUUAAAAUUUUCAAAUUUUAAAGUUAUCAAAAGAUUUAUUCUUAUAUAUAUAUAAUAUAUAUAUAUUAUAUAUAUAUAUAUAUAUUAUUAAAUAUAUAGGGAGAGAGAGUAGAAGGAGGGGUUUGGUAGCCGGCAACACUCGUGUCACUAAGGUCCCCCAAUUCCUUCUAUGUUGGAAAAAAAAAUACAUAUAUACCUUAAAAAGUGACAAGCAUUAAUUCUAUUAUGUUUAGUUGGCACCUUCAUCGAAUCUACGUGGGACACACACAUGCACACACACUCUAACACACACACACUCUAACACACACACACUCUAACACACAUAUAUGUAUAUAAUAUGUACCAAUUGGUGAUUCUUAAUUAUUAGGCUAAAUACCUAAAAAGUGACGAGCAUUAAUUAUAUUUUGUUUACUCGGCACCUUCAUUGAAUCUAUGUAGGACAAAGGAAAAUCACAAGAUAAGGCUAAGCAUCAUGGAUACCACAAAAUUGCGAAGCCCUAGUCAUGUAACCAAAUUGAACCAUCAAACUUUUAAUUUUUCUUUUUUCCCCCCUCUUUAAGUCUUUAUUAGCCGUGUGAGGACGAAUUCAAGAAAUUGCCUCCUGAUAAAAUUGCUUAAAUAGCAUAUGUCACAAAAGUGGCUUGAGGUUGCGAUAGUUUUGAUUCUACGGAAUUUAAUUUUCAUCUUUAGUGUAAUUGUACGAUCGCACACUAGACGUACUUCUUUUGUUUAUACUGUAUAAUUCCAUAUUGUAUUUUAAUUCCCCCCUUGUUUUACUUGUGUUUGAGUGUUUGUUUGCUGUGUCUGUGUCUGUAGAUGUUUUCCUCAAAAUUAAAAAAAAAAAAGAAGAAGGAAAAAAACAUCUAAGAGAUCAUCAUUUUACAUACCCUGUACCAGCGAAGAAGGCCAAAGGAAUCAUCAGCUCCCAUCCAUUUAUGCUCAUACUGUUCCCAUCGUAAGAGAAAAACAAAAAGAGGAGAACAAAUGUUAUAUGUCCAUUUCGAUCAUCUUCUUUGAUAAUCUUAAAUUGCGUAAAGACAAAUCAAAUCAAAUCACUAUCAAGAUGGUAAAAAGCAUUUUCCACGAUCGAUCUUUUGAUUGUUUGAUUGAAAAAGAAAAUUUGACAAUGUUAUCUUCUUCUCAUUGUCUUUUUCCUUAGUUCAAAAGUUGGAACUAGCUAGCUAAGAUUCUGUUUGUACCUAUCUCUCAAAAAAAAGAUUCUGUUUGUACCCAUCUUAAUUAAUUAAUUAUUUGGGUGGGUUUCCAUGUAGACAAUUAUCCCAUUGUAUUUGUUAAUCAAAUGCAUGAUGCAUAUAAUUUAUUGUAUGCUAAUAAAAGAUCUUCAUAAAUCAUCCCAGCUAGCUAGCUCAAAAUUUUUCAAACGGUUAAAAUUGUAUAGUAUUUACCUAAACUAUAUACUAUUUUAAAUUAGCUAUCUAAUUUUCCAAAUUUUUAAUUUUACUAUUCAUCCUUUCAAUUUGUUUGAUUUAAAUCGGUCGGUGAUAUAUUUACUUUAAAAUUUAAAUAUAUCGAUUAUCUUUACGUGUUUAAUUAGCAUAUUUUAUAUAAUUCUCCUAAUUAUAAAUUUAUUAAAAUAAAUAAUUAGCUUAAUUUUAAAGUUAACGUUACAUUGAUGGAUUGAAAUUAAAUAACUUAAAAGGUUGUAUUGCAAAAUCAAAAGUUUGGAUGGUUGAAUAGCUGAUUCAAAAUAUUCCAUACUUCAAAGAAAUUCCGUAUAGUUUUACCUAGAGAAUUUUGUGCUAAACUGUUCGGCAACAAUUAAUGGAAUAAAAAGAAAAUAUAUAUAUUCUAAAGCAACGUACGUACCAUACGGAAAGGGCAUCCACAGCUAUCUCGGCGUUCUUCAAGUUCCCCGUCAACAAGAUAAGUAUUCUAUAGUACCAGUUCUCCAAACUGCAUAAAAUUAAUUAAUAAUAACAAUUAUUGUAUGUAAAAUGUUUGCUACUAAAAUUCUCAAGCAAAUCACAGUAAUAUAUAUAAUUAAGCAUAGAAAUAUAGGCACUAACUAGGAUUAUAUAGUGUGUGUAUAUAUAUAUAUAUAUAUAUAUAUAUAUAUACCAUAACAUAACACCGGAAGCUGCGGAGAGCUUGAGGAACUCCCAGAGGCCGGCGAAGGCCUCAAGGGAGAAGCCCUUCCAGGUGUCGGGGCAGCCACCGCAGGCGACGUAGGCGAACUGCAGGAAGGCGGCGACCCACCAGGAGAAGUUGAGGGUGGCGGCGGUGCCGACGAGGCCGAGCUGCAUGCGCGACACGAAGAGCCACGUGACGAAGACGUGCACGACGAGCGCGACGGCGGAGAUGACGGCGUUGACGGCGUUCUUGAGCUGGCACUGCAGGAAGCGCUGCAGGGGGAAGAGGAAGGCGAAGGAGAAGUGGAGGGGGAUGAGCCACAUCGACACGUCCCCGGCCUGCGCCGCCAAUUCGGGGGGCUGCCCCAGCAGGCGGAGGAUCGGGGUGGCGAAGAAGUACAUGGGCAGGAGCACCACCGCGCACAGGAACAGCACGAUCCACGAACGCUGCAUGUACACCCCCAGCAUGUGGUAUUUCUUCGCGCCGAACGCUUGCCCGCACAGUGUCUCCAGCGCGCUCGCCAUGCCCAGCUGCAUCCAUGCAUGCAUGCAAUAUGUUUACGUCCAACGUUCUAUAUAUAUAUAUAUAUAAUAUAUAAUGUGUGUAUCAUAAAUCAUAAUCAUAAUAAUAACUAUACACCAUUUUGAACAGCUAAUCAAUCUUUCAAAAUUUUAAUUUUGAUUUUAUUAUUCGAUCUUUCAAUUUGUAUAAUUUUAGUCGGUUAACGGUAUUUUGGCUUUACAAUGUAAACUAAUUAUUUAUUUUAAUAACUGCAUGAAAAAUACCAACUAAACUCAUUCAAAUUUUGAACCCAAGAUGCCCUCGACCGACUCAAAUCAAACAAUUUAAAAAAUUUAGUAAUAAAAUUAAAAUUUAAAAAAGUUAAAUAACCAACUCAAAAUCAUCUAUAGCUUGGAUAAGCUCAGUAUGUUUUUAUCUUAAAAAUAUUAUUCUUAUAAUUUUUUUGCCGAGUUGACAUUAAUUUUAGAAUAUAAUAUUAUUAAUCACGAUAGAACGGCUCUAAUUAAUCAUUACUGUCCCGAUGACAAGGCACUUAAAUUAAUGGAAGGUCGAGGUUCCAGUAUCAAGUGAGAAAUGAGGCAUUGAAAACCAAGCUCCUAUAUAUGAUUUUAAAACUUAAAAAUAACACAUAAAAAAUAUAGAUAUGGUAACCAACCUAAUCCAAAGCAAACUCCACUGCAUGUACAAUCAUUUUCAUCCAUAAAUUUGAUUUUCCUUUGUAGUUAGAAAUUGUUAUUAUUAUUAUUAUUAUUAUUACUGGGCAAUCUGUGUCCUUCUGGUCCAGUUCAGGAUUUGCUAUUUAGCUUAACUAGCUAAGGGCCUGCGUGACGUGGUGAAAAAUAAUAUUUUAAUUAUUUUUUAUAAUAUUUAUUUUUUAUAUUCUCGUAAUCAAAGAUAUAACUGUUCCAUAUCAGAUCAUUAUUUCUUAGUAUCUUAAAUAGAUCUUCUGCUGUACUGUUAUGUAAUGUACAUAAUUUUCUUAAAAAUAAUUAUUUUAUUAAUAUUUUUAAUUUUUAAUAUUUAUAUAGUUAAAGUAUUCUAAUAAUUUUAUUUAAAAUUUAAUUAAAUUUGAUAGUUUUGAUACCUAUUUUAUAAAUAAUUUUUUGUUUAACUAAAAAACUGAAGUUGGAGGUCUUAUAUUAGAAUAAUUAGAGCCAAACAAAUAUAUAUUGCAAAACAUAUCUAAAAAAUAAAUUAAACAAUAAUUUGUAUCUAGACUGCAGUAAUAAUUUCGAAGAUGUCCUUAUUUUAUUAGACCCAAACAAAUAUAAAACUGAGGAUAUAGAAUAAAGGUAAAGAUCUAUUAAUUUUUGUGUAUGAAUUUUUUAUUAGGAAAAAAAAUUCAAAUACCACCUGUGUGGUUUCUCACUAGGGAUGCAAACGGAUCCGGGUUGGUGGAGCUCCCGCCCCGAUCCGCUCCGACGGGGGCAGUAAAUAGGAGAAAGUAAACGGAUUCGGGGCAGAAAACGGGAUAAGUUUUACGAUCCGAGACGGAUUCGGGGCAGAAAACGGGAGAAAUUUUCACCCGCCCCGAAUCCGCCUCCCAUGAUCCACCCCGAAUCCGUCCGAAUAUCAUUUCUAUUUUCAAAAAUAUUCCUAAAAAAUAAUAUAUUACAAAAAGUUCAAAAUACAAAUAAAUUAUUACUCGCAUUUCUAAUGUAUUUGAAACAUUUGAAUUUUGUCUUGAAUUUGUGAUUGAUAUUUUUGAUUUUUACAAUUAAUAUUGUUAAAUUAUAUAUAUAAUAUUUAUUAAAAUUAUUAUUUUAUAUUUUACAAAUAUUAAUAAUAUUUAUAAUUUUAUAAAAUAUUAGUUGCGGGGCGGAUUCGGGCGCCGGCGGGAGGCGGGUUUAGGGUGUCAAUGGAUAUGGAUACCCGAAAUUUUAUCCGAACCCGAACCCGAAUGUAACGUAUAUAUCCGAUGGAUAUGGAUAUGGAUUCGGAUGUGGAUAUCAAAAAUAGAAACCCGACGGAUAUGGAUUUUGAUUGUACCCGACCCGAACGCGAACCCAACCCGAACCCGACCCGAAUCCGAAUUUAUUUUGUAUUAUAUAUAAUAUAUAUAUAAAAAUUUGAUGUUAUAUUUGAAUUUGUAUUUUAAAAAUUUAGGUUUAAUAUAAUAUAUUUUGAAAUAUUGAAAAAAGAAAUAAUUGUUUCGGGUUCGGGUUCGGGUUUCGGAUUUUUGGUCAGGUUCGGAUUUGGAUAUGAUUUUUUAAAAUCCGUCGGAUUCAGGUUUGAGUUCGGGUCUCCGAUUUGGAGUCGGGUUCGGGUUUGGGUUUUUAAAAAUCCGCCCCGAAUCCGACCCGUUGACAUUUCUAGGCGGGUUACGAGGUGGGGUGGAUUAUGGAAUGUAUUUUUUAACCCGUCACGGAUUCGGGGCGGGAGGCGGGGCGGGAUUUUGCCAAUCGAGGCGGAAGGCGGGGCGGGGCUCCCGCCCCCAGAUCCACCCCGUUUGCAUCCCUAUUUCUCACUUUAGUAUCCCGUGAUAUAAAGUGUAUCAACUUAGUAUCCUGUGGCUUCACUUUUCUCUUUUUAUUAUUUCAUUCUGCUAUUAUUUUUUUGUUAAAUCAGUGAAAAAGUUAAAACUAAAAGGUACUAAAGUGAAUAUUUGAUAAACCUAAGUGGAGCAUCUGAAGUGUUUUGUAUAUAAUAAUUUAACGAAAUAUUAACGAAAGAGCUAAUGAAAAGAGAAAAUAAAAUCACAUAAUACAAACUUAAUAUACUUUAAACCAUAGGGUACUAAAGUGAGAAAGUGUAAAACCACCGGGUUGAUAUUUGAAGUUUAUCUUUUUUAUUAAUUAUAGAUUGUAUAUAAAAAUGUCUUGUACACUUGAUAUACGAUUUUUUUAUACUGUACAAAAUUUUAAUUUUGUUAUAUUAACUAUUAAAAAAAUGAAAUUGGUAUAUACGAUAAAAAAAAUUUAUAUUCAGUGUCGGUUAAAAAAAAAAAAAAAAGAAAUGUGUUGAGAAAAAAAAAAUAGUAUAGGAUGAGAGAGAGAAAACAAAAAAAGCUGGCCCGUACUGCAAAGUGAGGAGGAGGCCCCCGUACACUUGUUGGGUUCUCCUGUCACGUAUGCUAUGAUAUAAAUGGUACAAAUGCUCUGGACAAGCCUCAUUUUGGGCGCUCCUUUUUGUUGGGAUAAAAAUUUGCCGGGCACCGUACCCAAACAAAUUUAUUUGGGACCGUAAUCCUCGAAAAAAAAAAAAAAAAAAAAAUUUGCUGGGCUCUGUUUCUAAAAAGAGAGAGAGAGAGAGGAAAAGGGACGGUGGUGAUGGGCGCUGCUACACACGCGGUGCCCAUGGGCACGGUUCCCACCAAAUUUUUGUCAUUUUUCUUAUGUAUGCUUUAUCACUUUACCUCAAGCAGCUUUAGUUUGUUCGCACUUUUGUGGAUUUAGUUUUUUGAAAUAUUUAAUUUUGAAGAUAAUUUUCUCUUUCUAAAGGAAAUUAAAUUAGUAUAAGAAAAUUAGACCCAAAAAAAAAGGUUGGAUCUUCGCGCUCUCCUCAAAAAUUUGGAAAGGCCACGAGCAAUGGAGUCGUCAACGUGAGCUGGAAUUUCCAAUAAAAAUAACAGAGAAUAUUGAAACUCUUCUUCUAGACAAAUUCAACUAUCUCUUUUAAAUAUACUAUCGGGAGUAAACGAACCGUUUUACUACCGAUUUAUUUUCGAUGAUAGAGUUUUCAAAUUGACGAUCAGCUCCGUUAAAUAUGAUCUAAACCAUUUAAACUACCUAGAAAUCAAAUUUCACGCACUUUCGAUAUUAUUUUUUUAUCCAUCAAGUGAACAGACAAAUGAAUGGCUGAAAAUGAAUACUCUUUAAAAAAUAAUGAUAGGCGUCUUGUAAUCAAAAUCAACAGUAUAGAUCUUGUUUUAAAUAGUUUAAAGAAUUUUUUAAUAAAAAUUCAAUUGAUUUGAAUAUUUUUACGCCGUUAAACGAGAAAACGCUUCUUAUCGAUCAUUAAAAUUACAAAUUUUGAAACCCUUUGAUCAUUAGGCAAAUGAUGUCGAAAAGAUUUGAAAUUUGAUUUCUAAACACUUCAAGUGGUAUAGAUCAUAUUCAACGGAGGCUGAUCGUCAAUUUGGAAGUUCUAUCAUCGAAACAAAUCGGUAGGUAAACGGCUCGUUUUCUACCGAUAUAUUCUAGCUCAACCUGUAUAUAUAUAUAUAUAUAUAUAUAUAUAUAUAUAUAUAUAUAUAUAUAUAUAUAUAUAGAACUAGGCUACUAUGCUAUUAUAGCACCAAGUCAUUGGUGCUACCAAGUUUUGGGUAUUGGAUUAAGAUAUUGUGCGGUUAGGAUGAUGUGUGGCCCUCUAGGGUUGAGUAGGUGGUUGGUUGAAUAGUAUGAUCUAACGGGUGAAAAUGAUCAAAAGGGUAGAUCUAACGGGUGGAAAACUCUGGUAGUACCAAGCUGUCGUGCUAUUAAUAGGCAUAGUAGCCGGACCUUAAUAAUAUAAUAUAUAUAUAUAUAUAUAUAUAUAUAUAUGUUAAAAAAUUCAGAUUUUGAAGUCAACAAUAUAAGCAGAUUUACAUUAAGGCCUUAUAAUUCACAAUAUAAAAUCGCCUUAAAUUCUAACGUCCAAAUCCAUGUCUAUGUAAUAAUUAAUUGACUUUUCCUGUUACGGACUUACGGGUCUAUGUGACACAUCGUCCUUUAAUUUAACCACAUUCGUUAGUGUGGUUUAUUUGUGCCCACAUGUUUCAUUCACCAUUGCUAUUGUCAUUAAUACCCAUUAAUGAAACCUCUAGAGCUUGUCCCUACAAAACUUCUGAAAGUUAAAGUUUUUAUCUUGGCUCGCCCUUAAAAAGAAGGCCUCUAACAGUGGACGAUCUAAUUAAAAAAGGGUGAAUGAAAAUAAUAGUCCACGUACUGUGUGAGAUGGAAGAGAAAAUAGUAAAUCACAUAUUCACUCAAUGCGUUUUUAGUAAAUUUUUGAUAGUAACAGCCUUAAAGGGUAUCCAGCCUAUGAAUCUAGGGGAUGACGUGACGAUCGUUCAGGAUAACUGGAUAUCUACUUGUUCUAGGUUAACCGUCCUAAUAGCCUGCUGGUGAAUUAUUUGGCAGGCAAGAAAUGAUGUAAUCUUUUAAAAGAUUGAUGCAAAUCCGUUUGCAGCUGUCGAUAAGACCAAAUACUUAAAGAAAUUAUGAAAUGAAUUUAUUAUGGCAAAGUAGCUUUAACGCCACCACUCCUCUUUUGUUUUUGUUUUGUUUUGUUUUUUAUUUUUUGUUGUUUUUUUUUUUCAUCUUAGCUGAUGUUUACUAUCUCACCCAUGUAGAUUAGUUCAUACUCUUUGCACCCGUUUGGUUCGGGGUUAAGGGGUGGAAUAAUCCCUUAACCCCGAAGUUAUUCCCAAACAUCCAAUUUUGGGGGUGGGGUUACCCCAUCCUACCCCACCCCACUACUCCAACAAAACAAAACACUAUUUUACUUACUAUACUUCUUAUCCCAUCUACUUUAACCAAACAUUAUUUUAUCUAUAUCUGGACUAAACCUAAUUCUCAACCAAACACAAAAUUACUCUAACCCCACCAUUACCCUGAACUUAACUCUAUCCGUGGAAUAAUAAGUUUUUACUUAAUCCCGAACCAAACGGUGGCUUUUUAUGAAUAAAGCAGAUAGCAUUCUACAUUUUUCUUAAAAAAAAAUUUCUGAAAAAUUCAAAAAUUUUACAGAAAGGAUUUUAGAAGGUCGGAAAAAACCGCCUAAUAUAGCUAAGCCUACCUACUGUCACCAAUUUUUUUGUCAUUAAAUUAAUAAUAUAAAAGAAAAUGUAACAUAACUAGAAACAGUCCAAAGAAUAAUUUAAAAAAUUCGUAAAAUAUCUUUUACAAAGUUAAAAGAAGGAAUAUGAACAUGAUAAAUAUUUUUUGAAAAAGUCAUUUGAUCUGAAGCUUCGCAAGGGAAAUGAAUUAAUAAAUGAUAACAAUGAAGUAUCAACGUACUAAUAAUAAAGAGAAAGCAUACAGAGGUAGUGUUAAUUUGAUUGAGAAAUAAAAGAGGAAUUAAAUAGUUCACUAAUAAAGAAAAAGUAUAUAUAGAAAGGUAAUGUUUGAUUGAGAAAUAAGAGAGGAAUAAUAAGACUUCUUAUUUUCCUUAUUCACCCUGACACCGCUGGCGCUUCUUCCUAAUUUCCAUCUUAAUCGGUUAUUUUUUAUUUCCCAACAAAAUUGUUUAUUGAAGUACAAAAAAAUAUAAAUAUAAAAUAUUCUUAAUUAAUGUACCACGUAGUAAUUUUUUUACUAAUUAGCUAAGUAAUCAAUCACUUUUCUUACCAAAUUAAUAAAUAUUUGGUUAACUAGUUGGACAAUUAAUUUUUAUUCAUAAGUAAAUAACAAAUUAGACAAUUAAUUAGUUUAUGUGCUUAUUAGAUUAAGUAAUAUUCAUAUGAGUUAACUAACUAAUAUUUUUACUAAUCUAAUUAUUUAUUAAAUAAUUAUUUAAUUGAUUAAUUAAUUGCACAACAAAAAAUUAAUUUUUUUAGUUAAGUAAAUAAUUAAUGUUUUUCCCCAUUCUCUUUAAAAUGUACAUAACUAACAAAUAAAUAAAUAAAUAAAUUUUUAGUAUUUUGAUUAAAAAGUAAUUUAUUUUAAAAAAUUAUAAUUACUUUUAUUCUCAUUAUUUUAAUCUAAAAUAUGCAAAUACUAUUUUUCAUAUUCUUAUAAAUAACCCUCUAAUUAUCAAGGAAAAAUUAAUAAUACUAGGAGCCUGAUAUGUGUUAGAGAACUGUGUUUAUAUAUAUUUAUAUUUAACGAUACUAAUAGGAACAAAAUAAAUGUAUGUUGUCAUACAAUCUCUUCAAAGGACAGCAAUUUCAAUUAAUUUUUUAGGACACUAAAACAAAAACGAAAAAAAAAAAGAAGUAUAUAUUCCUUUAGGCAAUUAUAAAUGUUUGAAUCUGAGAGGCAGAGAUUAGAUGCGAAGAGAACGUGUGACACUGUUUAUUUAGACAUAAUCAUGUUUAGAUAGAAAACAAUAAUCUAUAUAUAUAUGCAGAGAGCAUCUGUUAAUAAGGAUGCAUGGUAGAGUAAUUUAUUAAUUGUGAGUGUGAACAAAAAUAUGGCUUAUCACUAACCAAUUAAGUAUUAGAAAACGAACAUGGGUAAAAGAAAACAAAAGAAAGCUACGUACGUACCAUUAGUGACCCAAAGUUAUUAAAUGGUUCUUGACGAUGUAACAUAAGUUAUAUUCGUUCAUUUUAUAGUAAUUUCUAGUUAUAUUCGUUCAUUUUAUAUAUAGUAAUUUCAAUUUAUAUCUUUAGUAUUAAAUUAUAAUAAAAAAUAAUAAUUAUUUUUUAAAAGCUUAAGAUAGUGUUAGAAAAUAAUAUUUUUAAUAUUUAUAUAUUCAAUAUUGCUCCAACGUUUAAACGGGAGAUUUUUUUAAUAGGAGAUUUUUUUAAUAGGCUCAAAAUAUAAACUUAAAUUAAAUGAUUGAUUAUUAAAUAAUAAAAGUUUGGCAAAACUCAAACUCACAAUAGGACAUUUAGUGCAUGUAUUAAUUCAAUAACUCUUUGCGUGAUAUUAUUGCUUUUUUUUUUCAUUAGUAUAUAUUAUCCAAAAAUCGAUCUAACAAAAAUNNNNNNNNNNNNNNNNNNNNNNNNNAAAUUAAUUUUUUUAGUUAAGUAAAUAAUUAAUGUUUUUCCCCAUUCUCUUUAAAAUGUACAUAACUAACAAAUAAAUAAAUAAAUAAAUUUUUAGUAUUUUGAUCUUUAUUAAAAAAAAGUAAUUUAUUUUAAAAAAUUAUAAUUACUUUUAUUCUCAUUAUUUUAAUCUAAAAUAUGCAAAUACUAUUUUUCAUAUUCUCAUAAAUAACCCUCUAAUUAUCAAGGAAAUAUUAAUAAUACUAGGAGGCUGAUAUGUGUUAGAGAACUGUGUUUAUAUAUAUUUAUAUUUAACGAUACUAAUUAAUAGGAACAAAAUAAACGUAUGUUGUCAUACAAUCUCUUCAAAGGACAGCAAUUUCAAUUAAUUUUUUAGGACACUAAAACAAAAAAAAAAAAAAAAAUAAAAGUAUAUAUUCUUUUAGGCAAUUAUAAAUGUUUGAAUCUGAGAGGCAGAGAGUAGAUGCGAAGAGAACGUGUGACACUGUUUAUUUAGACAUAAUCAUGUUUAGAUAGAAAACAAUAAUCUAUAUAUAUAUAUGCAGAGAGCAUCUGUUAAUAAGGAUGCAUGGUAGAGUAAUUAAUUGUGAGUGUGAACAAAAAUAUGGCUUAUCACUAACCAAGUAUUAGAAAACGAACAUGGGUAAAAGAAAACAAAAGAAAGCUACGUACGUACCAUUAGUGACCCAAAGUUGGAAAAUGGUUCUUGACGAUGUAACAUAAGUUAUAUUCGUUCAUUUUAAUUAUAGUAAUUUCUAGUUAUAUUCGUUCAUUUUAUAUAUAGUAAUUUCAAUUUAUAUCUUUAGUAUUAAAUUAUACUAAAAAUUAUUAUUAUUUUUUAAAAGCUUAAGAUAGUAUUAGAAAAUAAUAUUUUUAAUAUUUAUAUAUUCAAUAUUGCUCCAACGUUUAAAGGGGAGAUUUUUUUAAUAGGCUCAAAAUAUAAAUUUAAAUUAAAUGAUUGAUUAUUAAAUAAUAAAAGUCUGGCAAAACUCAAACUCACAAUAGGACAUUUAGUGCAUGUAUUAAUUCAAUAACUCUUUGGGUGAUAUUAUUGUUUUUUUUUAUCAUUAAUAUAUAUUAUCCAAAAGAUCGAUCUAACAAAAAAAAAAAAGGGUCUAGGAAUAUAUAUGUAUAUUGUCACUCUCCCUCGCGAGAAUAAUAAAUAUGAAAGUUGCGUAAAACUAACAAAUUAGGUAGGAUAUAUGUGGGAAUUUAACUCAUUAUAUACUACGGAGAUUUUAAUCCCGUAAAUAUUGAAAGUGAGAAUUGAACUCACGACCUCGUAGAACGAAAAUGAUGGUGUAUAAACAAGGAAGGAGAGGGAAGGAGAAGAAGAGGUACCAUGAGGCCGAAGUUGAAGCCGACGACGACGGUGUUGGCGAUGGAGAUGGAGGCGAGCUCGAGCUCGCCGAGGUGGCCGGCGAAGGCCUGCGUGAUCACAUUCAUGCUGUACGUGACCACCCUGCUAAAUAUGGCUGGUGCAACAAUCCUCCACAGCUGCUUUGACUCCUCCCAUACUCUCCUCCCCAAUCCCACACCCCUCUCCAACUCCAACUCUUUUCUUUCUCCAUUUAGAAGCGCAACUCUCUCUUCUCCUUUCUCCAUGUAAUAUAUCCUCUCUCCCCCUCUAUAUAUGAUCUUUUUUUCUCUUUUUCCUUUCUUUUGGGUUACUUUCUUUUUGCUCAGAGAAGAAAAGAAGAUAAGAGGAGAGAGAGAGAGAGAGAGAGAGAGAGAGAGUGUGUGUUUUAUUGUGGGUACAAUAAAAUGGGAAGUGAUGGAGGGGAAUUGUGUGUUUAUGUGGUCAUUUCUCUGUGCAAAAGAGAGGAAUUUAUUGCAUGGUUCUAGUCCACCACAUCGAUUAUGGGUUGUCUUUUAUAUAUAUAUAUAUAUAUAUAUAUAUAUAAUAGUAGAUAAUAUAUAAAUUAGUAGAUAAUAUAUAAAUAUAUAUAAUAGUAGAUAAUAGUAGUAGAUAAUAGUAAUAGUAUCUACUAUUUAGAUUAGAUCAUAUUUAAUGAAAGAAAGAAAACAUAGUUGUAACAAUCAAUAUUCGUGAUGCAAUCAUUGUUGGAUUAGGUCCAAGACAAAGGUUCUUUCUUGACCAAACUACAAGUAUGGAACUCCAUGAUAUGGAAAGACGGAAUAUGGAACCUAAANCUAGGUAAAUGAUAUCGAAAAAUCGCAAAAAUUAUUUUCUAGAAACUUUAAAUAUGCUAGAUCAAGUUUAACGGAGCCGAUCGUCAAUUCGAAAACUCCAUCAUCGAAAAUGGCUCAGGAGCACGGAGGCCUCCAUGCUCCUGAGAGCACAGCAGCCCUACUCUAUAUAUAUAUAUAUAUAUAUAUAUAUAUUGUCACUCUCCCUCGCGAGAAUAAUAAAUAUGAAAGUUGCGUAAAACUAACAAAUGAGGUAGGAUAUAUGUGGGAAUUUAACUCAUUAUAUACUACGGAGAUUUUAAUCCCGUAAAUAUUGAAAGUGAGAAUUGAACUCACGGCCUCGUAGAACGAAAAUGAUGGUGUAUAAACAAGGAAGGAGAGGGAAGGAGAAGAAGAGGUACCAUGAGGCCGAAGUUGAAGCCGACGACGACGGUGUUGGCGAUGGAGAUGGAGGCGAGCUCGAGCUCGCCGAGGUGGCCGGCGAAGGCCUGCGUGAUCACAUUCAUGCUGUACGUGACCACCCUGCUAAAUAUGGCUGGUGCAACAAUCCUCCACAGCUGCUUUGACUCCUCCCAUACUCUCCUCCCCAACCCCACCCCCCUCUCCAACUCCAACUCUUUUCUUUCUCCAUUUAGAAGCGCAACUCUCUCUUCUCCUUUCUCCAUGUAAUAUAUCCUCUCUCCCCCUCUAUAUAUGAUCUUUGUUUCUCUUUUUCCUUUCUUUUGGGUUACUUUCUUUUUGCUCAGCGAAGAAGAGAAGAUAAGAGAAGAGAGAGAGAGAGUGUGUGUGUUUUAUUGUGGGUACAAUAAAAUGGGAAGUGAUGGAGGGGAAUUGUGUGUUUAUGUGGUCAUUUCUCUGUGCAAAAGAGAGGAAUUUAUUGCAUGGUUCUAGUCCACCACAUCGAUUAUGGGUUGUCUUAUAUAUAUAUAUAUAUAUAUAUAUAUAUAUAUAUAUAUAUAUAUAUAUAUAUAUAUAUAUAUAUAUAUAUAUAUAUAUAUAUAAUAGUUAUAAUAUUAUUAAAAGUAUAAAGUAGUUGGUGUUUAUAAGUUUUUCGUCAUAAGAUUUAUCUUUUUAACAAUUUUAAUCUGUUAAACUAUAUUAUUCAACCAAUUGUCUACUCAGUUUUAGGAGAUCAGUAUCAUUCUUACUGUAUAUCUCUUAAUUUUAAGGUUAAAAAUUUACAAACACUAAUGACUUGAUAUAUAUAUAUAUAUAUAUAAUUUCAUAUUUAUAGCGAGAAAAUUAUGUGAGCUUUUAAUUUAUUUUAAUUAGUUAAUCGGUCUAACUUCUGUUAAAUUUUCUAACAUAUGAUAAAAAAAAGUAAUUUUAGCUAGGUUUUAUCUUUUUUAUGGUCUCUAUGAGCUUUGAAUUAUUUGCGUAGUAAUCCGAUUUCUUUAUUAUUUCUUAUAGUUCGGAUGAUCAUUCAUUUAAAGGAGGGAUGCAACACGAGGACUUUCCAGAAAGUCACCCAUUAUAGUACUACUCUCACCCAAGCAAGCUUAACUGCGGAGUUCUGAUGUUCGGAUGAUCAUUCAUAAUUGGCCAAAUGUUGGAUGGGGCCUAGUUUUCACUUUUUGUUUUAUAUCCAUUGGCCAAAUGUUAUGUAUCCGACAAGGUUCAUACAAUGGAUGAGGGAAAUAUGUUUUUGUGGUCAAAGAUGAAAGAUGUUAGGAAGAGAAGUGUUAUUUGUGCACUUACAAUUAGGUACAAAUUUAUCAUCUAAAAGAUAUGAAAAUAUAUAAAAUUUUAUAUAAUUUUUUAAAAUUUUUAAUUUUAAAAAGUAAAAUUAUGAUAAGACUAGUGCACAAAAAUACUCUUAAAUUAAAAAGUGUCAAAUUUAAUUUCUUUCAGAAAACUUGAUUACAUUCCUUGUCCUUAUACGGCUGCCAGGAGAUAAAGGUGAAAAGAGAUAUGAAAGAAUAAAAAAAUGAAGUUGGUGUGUUUCAGUUACGUAAUAUAGGUGUCCAGAAAUUGGUAGUGUUUGGAUUGGGGACAAAAAGAUGGAUAAUUUUUUAUUUUUUUUUUAUAUUUAAACGUAAAUUUUUUAUUCAAGAAUAAUAAUUUUUGAUUAUCUAAAAUAACUUGACAUAAUUAUUUUUACAAAUAUUUUUAUUUUUUAUAUAUAGUUACCUACUAUUUUUUUUAUUUUAUAUUAUCUAUUCAAACGUUAUUUUUUUUAUCUCCGAAAACAACCAAAUUUUCAUCCAAACGCUAUUUUUUUUAUUCACAUACUUGUAUUUAUCCCUAUAAAUUAUAAUAGCUAGUUUUUACUUAUAUCUGAACCAAACGCUACCGAGAUAGAUAGUAUAUUACCCGUUUCGUUUAUUUUCUUAGCAAAUAAAUUUAACUGAAAAUAUGAAUCAAUUAGGAUUGAACUUGAGACAUCAGAUACCAAUCACUAAAUUCUUUGCCAUUUACGCCAAGAACGAUCGGGGUAUUCAGAAGUUGUUAUUAUAAUUUUGGAAGAACUUUGUCUUUCAAUCUUGUUAAAACUUGAGUAUGAAUUCAAUUCAGAUACGACUUUUUCUUAAUUAAAUUCGAUAAAAAUAUUUAUUAAAAAAAAAUAAAUAACACCAUCGGACGUACAGGAUAAAGGAAUCUGCAGACCGUAAGUCCAAUCAACCCAAGAAAAAUAAAAAUUUAAAAAUAUAAAAAAGUUAUCUUUAAAUAGAAUAGUCAUAUUUUUAUUUUAUGGUGAGACCUUGCUGUAAACUAGAAUAGAAAUAAAUUAUAAUGUACAAAUUUGCAGAAUAAAAAAAAUAUAUAGAAUUUUACUUAUUUAUAAUUUACUCUAUUUUUUCAUGCAUUGUAAUAUAUAAUAUUUAUAAUUCUACUUCAUAAUAAAUUUUUAUAUACGAGAAAUAAAAAUAAAACUAUAGGAUUUUAAAACAAAAUGUUUCAAACUACAAGAUGAUAAAAUAAUAUUGAACCAAACCAUAUAGGAGUUACUUACAGCUUACCUUGAAUCAAACUGAAUAAAUCAAAAUAAGUUGAUUUAAUUUGGUAAUUCCAUGAGCUCUGAAUUUCUCUCCAUGUUUAUUUUUCUUUUUCUAUGUUUCAACACUGUUUUUUUGUUAUAAUUUAAUUAAGGGUCCAUUUGAUAUUACUACUUGACAAAAUAAAGUGGAAUGAAACUAUACACACAGAAAGAUUUCUUUUUAAUAUUUUAUGAUAGAAUCGUGGAAAGUAUAACUUAAUCGAUUUAUUAUGAUAAAAUAUAAUAUAAUUUUAUAUAAAAAAUAAAUAAAAAAGUAUUUUUUACUGCAACUUUCUCAACACACUUUCCAAGUUAUUCAGCAAUCCCAGUAGAGACUAACAGAAAAAGCAAACAACACAAUUCAGCUACGAAAAAGCUGAGACCUGUAAACCCGAGAUACCUCUCACCAUCUCUCUGGAGAAAUCCAGAGAUAGAGAGAGAGAGAGAGAGAGAAAAUGUCUCCAAAGAGUUUCCUACUUUGCAGCUUUUAGCAGUAACUUUUACAUUAUUUUUGUGUGGACAGGAUUACAUCUAAAAUUGAUCGCUUCAAAAUAAUUUUUAUGAAUCUUUUCAUGUUCUUUCCUUUCUGUCCAUUUAAGUUUUUUAAAAAUUCGAUCGUUCCCAUCAUAAAUGAUAAAAGAUUUAAUGAUUGAUAUCUAAGCUUUCAAAUUUGAAGCUUAACUACUUUAUAUUUUUAACUAAAUUUAUUUUUCUAAAAAAAUAAACGGAGUCGAUAGUAUGCUAGCACUCUUUCUCUCAAACAAAAUAAAAAAAGAACCAAUUAUUCAUAAUGUGAUGAGCCUCGUAAGUGGUCCAAAAUAAUCAAUUUAAUUAAUUUUGCUACGACAUUCAGAUUUUAGAUUUUGCAUGACAUUGAUCGACCAUUUGUAAUAAAAAAAAAUUUUAUGCUACUUCUAGACGUAGACGGAGCUAUAAUUCGUAAUAAUAUGAUAUAUUUUUUCUAUAACUGUAGUGUGAAUUUCACAAUGAUAUAUCUUAUAGAAUUGAGCUAGAAUAUUUUUCAAAGUGCUACUUUUUUGAAAUUUUUAUGUUGUUUAUUAUGAUGGAUUGCCAAUCAUUAACAUAAUUAAAAACGAUCUAUAAAAAGUGAGCUUUCUGUAAAUCAAAUUUUAUUAUUUUUCAGUAAUAUUUAUCUAGUAACUAAAUGGUUUUAAAUGUACCUUACGUAUGCCACUAAAAAUUAAUUAUUAACUCCGAUCGAAACCAUUUGGGCAAUCAAUAAAAAGUAUAAAAUUUAAUUUCUAAAAAGUUCGCGUAUCGUACAUCAUAGUUAGUACCGAACAUAACGCACAGAAAAAUCACGAAUUUAAUAUUUCUAAAUAAUACUCCUAAAUGUAUUGGAGCUCAACUGCUCUUUUGUAAUUUUUAUGGAGGUGGGUAGCAUGCUACCUAUCUCUCAAAAAAAAAUAAAUUACACAAGCUUUGCUUGUGCUGUGCUGACGUCAGCGCUGACGAAAACCAGCCAAGUCUAUUAUUUUUGGUAAUGGCCUCGAUCUGCAAUCCUUGUCACAUGGCUCGCCCUCUUUUGGUUGCUUGUAUAUAAUUUACCAGUUGCCCGCCCAGUCAUUAAAAGGAAAGAUCUUUUCAAGAAAACCCCAUAAAUAAGAAAGCAAUUUGAUCACGAAUGUGGUGUUGAUUCACAAAAAUUGAUGUCAUCUCCAAGUCAUAACACUGAGAAAAAAAAAACUCUACCUUUGACACCUUGAAGUUUUUGAUUGGUUUAAUUUCGACCAAUAAUAUGUUUGAAAUUUUUUGAGUAAAAUAUUUUGGCCGAUCUGUUUAGUAAGCUAGAAUUAAUAUUUCUAAGUGUUUUGUGAUUUGACCGCUUAUAUAUAUAUAUAUAUAUAUAUAUACUCUAUAUUUUGUAGAUAUUCGAUAGCAGAAAGAAUACCGAAAAUAUUUCAAGAUGUGCCUAAGGUGUUUAAGAACAACGAUAUGUUAGGUUCGAACUUGGAUGCGACUUUUAGUGGUAGGACAGUGUCGUAUUUACUUUAUCACUAUAUAUAAUCCGUUAUUAUAGAACCCAAUUACUAUAUAUAUAUAUAUAUAGGCCAUGGCUAUUAUACUAUUAUUAGUAUUGGAGCCCUCGUACUCAUAAGUUGUUUUCAAUGAUGGAGCUUCCGAAUUGACGAUCCACUCUGUUAAAUAUGAUCUAGAGUAUUUGAAACUUCUAGAAAAUAAAUUUCGUAAAUUUUUGAAAUCAUAAUAAAGUCCAUCAAGUGGGCAUAAAAUGAACGGUCAAAAUCGAACGACGUCCUAAAAAAGAAUGAUCGGAUCUUUCAAUUCAAGAUCGGAGUUAUUGAUCUUUAUCUAUAUAGUGAAUAGAAUUUUCUAUCAAAAAUUCAACUCGAAUCCUGAUUCUUUACAACCGUUAAACUAGCAAGUACUCCAUAACCGCCGUUAAAAAUUGUCAAUUUGUGACCUUUUGAUCGUAAGGUAAAUGAUGUCGAAAAAUUAUAAAAUUGAUUUCUAGAAGUUUUAAUACUGUAAAUAACGUUUAACGGUAUGGAUCGUUGAUUCAGAAGCUCUUCAUCGAAAACAACUUAUGAGUACGAGGGCGAUCGUACUCAUAAUAGUAUAAUAGCCGAACCCUAUAUAUAUAUUAUAUAUAUAUAUAUAUAUAUAUAUAUAUAUAUAUAUAUAUAUAUGUUUAAAAGAUUUUAAAUAAAACAACCUGUUUUAGAAAAGAAGAAUUUAAGUUAUCCAUCUCAAGUAGGACAAUGAGAGCUCAGCGCAAAUCGUGCUCGAGAUAGAAACCCAAACUAUUGGGGCCCCCAAAUUUAUUCCGUUCUUUUUCAAAAAAAAUUUUGCCUUUUCAACUUGCGAAUUUAAUAAUUUCACUAAUGUAAGAGUUUACGUCAUAAAUUUUAACACUUUCCAUGGGUAAAACCCGCAAUCUUUUAAGAUGGCCGUCCAGGUAAUAAUUAAGUAUUAGGUUAUAACUAAUGAUUGUUGUUCAGAAUUAUAAAAUGGACGAAGGAUUUGAAUUGCGCAACAAAUCAAAGUUUAUAUAUAUAUCUAUAGAAUUGGCAGGGUGAAAACACCUUUCCAGCUAACUAAAAUUUUAUAAGGGAACCCAAGUUAAACGAGUAAGGGUAGCUUAUUAGUGAAUGUGCUAUACAAACUUUGCAAUGUUUUGAUAUAUAUAUAUAUAUAUAGAGAGCUAGGCUGGUAUACUAUCGGUAGCACGGAGGCUUCUGUGCUACCAAGUUGUUUUCAAUGAUGCGGCUUCCAAAUCGACGAUCGGCUCCGUUAGAGUGAUUUAGAGAUUUAAAUGACUUAGAAAUAAAUUUUGCGAUUUUUCGAUAUCAUUUGCCUAGCGAUCGAAGGGGCUCAAAAUCAAUAAUUUUAACGGCCUGGUGAGCCGGUUGCAAGUUUAACGGUGUAGAAAUAUUCAAAUCACAUAAAUUUUGAUAGAAAAUUUUAUACCAUAUAAAACAAGAUCAAUAACUUUGGUCUAAAUUUUAAUGUCAUAUCAUCAUAUUUGUAAGAUUUUUAUUUUCAGCCGUUGAUUUUGAGUCACUCUUCGAUCACUAGGCAAAUGAUAUCGAAAAAUCGCAAAAUUUAUUUCUAGAUACUUCAAAUACUGCUAGAUCAAGUCUAACGGAGCCGAUCAUCGAUUCAAAAGUCCGAACAUCGAAAACACUUGGAAGCACGGAGCUGUGUCGUACUUCCAGAAAGCAUACCAGACGCACCUAGUUAUAUAUUAUAUAUAUAUAUAUAUAUAUAGUAUAUACUAUAAGUAUAUAUAUAGUUUUGUCCUCUUAGCUGGGGGUAAUUUAUUUUUUGACCUGUGUAUAUUUCGACUUAAAAUAUAUCAUAGUUAUAACAUUCCAGAUUCAAAUCAGUCUUAAAUUUACCAUAAUCUUGACACGUAAGUGGAAUUGAUAAGUUAAAAUGUAGCCUAUUCUUAGGAAUUAAAGGCUGGUAUUGUAUACUAUUUAUGAAAUAACUAUUAGUUAAUUUCAACACAAAAAAGAUCGUGUUUUCCUAAACCCAAUAGGCUGAUCAAGAGAAAAAAAAAAAAGAAGCAUAAGCUAGAAGUAAAAUUAAUUCCUACCUCACAAAGUUCUCAUUCAUUUCAAGGAAAUUAACUCCUCUGUUUAUUAUAGAUGCUGGGUAGGCCAUCAAAUUCCAGCACCAUGAAGUUGGUUGAUAGUACUAGAUGUCUACAACAUUAUGAAGUCGAUUAAUUAAUAGUACUGGCUAGAUGCCUGAAACCAGAAAUUUUUAGUGUACUAGUCAUGUGGUUGGCAUAUCGCGGUUCUUGUAGGGGUUGGUGUAGAUUUUUUUUUUUUUUUUUUGAAAAAUAGGUAGCAAGCUACCUGCUUCAUUCAUUAAGCGAAAUGAAAUAAGCGUACAUGAUGGAGACAGCUAGGGCCUCCUGAAAGAGCCGAAAAAAUACAAGAAAGAAAAUCUAAAAUAAAGAACUCUACACCUAUCGAUUAGACAAAGUAAACAAGAAAAGCGGGGUGGAUAGUGAAAAGGAAGAAGUGGGGACUGAGCAUGGAAGAAGGGACAAGCAAGGGUCAAAGGGCUCCGUUCCAGGCAUUGGUCAAAGAAGCGACACGUUCAAGAGCCCGGGUAGCAUUGGGAAGCACCUUGUGGAAGAUAGUGUUGUUGCGCUCAGUCCAGACGACCCACCAGAUCGCCGCUAAACGGGUUAAACUUUUCGAUCUCGUGGUGGCAUUGGGUAUGUUAGAUGUAUCUGUCCAUAGCCUCUGUACAUCCCUGGCAUCCGAUUCGCUUGCAUCUGAACCUUCGGCACAAAUACGGAUGUAUCUGACCAAGAUACAGUUCCGGAACAGAUGGUCGCAGGUUUCUGGAAAGAACACGCAAAAAAUACAAAACUGAUCCGCCAGGCACCCUCUGCGGAUCAUUCUGUCUGCAGUUAGCAGUCUCUUGCGCAGCAGAAUCCAAAUAAAGACUUUGAUUUUGACCGGAAUUUUUAACCUCCAAAAAUGCUCAUACAUUGGGGCUCUUUGACCUGCGUCGGUGAUGAAUUCAUAAAGGGACUUAAUGGUAAAAGUUUGGUUGGCCUAUACAAAAGUUCCGCGCAUAGAGUGUAAAUAUAAUUUGCACGCAGUUGUAACCAAUGUGUGCCUAUAACGCAUGAGAUGUUAAGAUCCAAUCAAUGUACAUACAUGAUUCAUAAAAGGAGAAAAAAGAGAAAAUACAAGUAGCCCUUAAUCCAUUUAGAGAUACUAAUGGACCUGGUUGGACCUGGUGAGCCCUUCAUCCAUAAAUUGGACCAGCCAAAAUCGUAUGAGAAAAAGCCCAGUUUAAUGUAGCCCAGCCAGGUCCAACCAGGCCUCACCAAACCAACUGUUCUUGCCAAAAAAAAAAGAAAAGAAAAGAAAGAAGUUUAUGGUCUUAAAAAACAAAUUGAAAACUUCUCUCUCCUUCACUUUUUUUUUUUUAAUUCCUUUCCUUGUAAACCAAAUAGUUAUGCCUGGAAAAUUAUUUCUAUUUCAUGCUAGCCCAAACACCACUAAGCAUAAAUUUUCUUUCAUGCUUUUCUAAGAAUCAUUUGUACCAAUUUAGCGGACGGUCCAAAAACUAACCCACUUAUAUCAAAUUUUUGGCUAGGUCGGUCAAAAUUAACCUGUAACUAUGGGAGAAUGAGCGAGAGUAGAAUCUGAUCCGCUUCUAAUUUUGCCCAGACCUAUAUAUAAGUGGAAUACGCUUUUAGUUUCUCAGCUUUCUUAUGUUUGUGUUGUUAUAUCAAAAAGAACAAGCGAAAGUAGAAUCUGGUCUGCUUCUAGUUUUGUUCAGACCUAUAUAUAAGCAGAAUACAUUUUUAGUUUAUCGGCUUUCUUAUGUUUGAGUUGUUAUAUCAAAACAUUUAAUUCUCCUUGCUGCAAAAAGGUCAUUUAUUUUCUAUUGGCCCUAACCCAAGUCAUGGCCAUCAUUUUUGACUUUACGAUGGUUAUCAGUUCCUUGAUUACACUGCAUUAAGGCCAUCAUUUUCAACUUUGCGAUAGUUAUUAGAUCCUUGAUUGCACUGUACUUUGCUUAGUGGUAUACAUACAUUAAUAAUAUAGAAGAUGAGGUUGAUUAUUCCAUAUAACAACAUUUUCUGCAAGGAAGAUCCCAUAUGUCAUAGUAUGUAUUAUAAUAUUCUAUCUGAGCAAUCAUUUACAUUUCGUUGUCCCGAGUCAACUUCAAGAAUGAAAUGAGGAAUAGGAAUAGUAGAACUACUUUGGUUAAAGAAAAUGAUCGAUAACAAUGAAACAUCAAACAUUGAUCAACGAGUCAAAAAAAAUAUAUAUAUUGUAGUUCAUUAAAGAUGGGGGUUGUGCGUAUGUGUCAAUACUUUUUUUUUUAGAGAGAUAAGUAGCAUGUUAUUGUUUAUUUCAUUUAGAAAUAAACUUAGCUGGAAAUGUGAAUUAAUUAGGAUUCGAAUUUGGAACCUCUGGUACCAACCACCAAGUCCUUCGCUACUUGCGCAAGGGACGGUCGGUCGUACGCCCAACAAAUUGUAUCCAAGCUCUUCUUCAAGAUUCGUGCGGAACUAAUCCGCCGUCUUAAUUAAUUAGUUUUUAUGUCAUGCUUAUUUGGAACAGUAGACUAACACCCAACUAAUUAGUAGAUUUAUUUACAGCUAUGGAGCAUUGGAGUUUCUUUAUUUCUGUGCAUGUGGGCAUCGUCGUGUAGCUAGUAUUUGUAUCUCUGGAAUAUACAUAUAUCCUCAGAAGAUAAGGCACAUGUAUUGAAAAGAGCACACUUUUCAAGGACAAAAACUCACCACUGCAGCUGCAUGUAUAAUCACAAGUCGCGAAUAAUUGGUGGGUCACUCAUGGCUCAAUUUUGGCCGGUAGAGUAUGUGAUCUUACGUACGCCAAGGAGUACUACUAAUCAACAGAUGCUCUACAUGAAUUGGGUUCGACUGGGUUGGAUGACAACCAUUUCUUAGGGCAGGAUCAAUUCAAAAAUACACGUACAAUCAAUCGAUUAGACACUGAACGAAUCAGGAUACAGCUUUAAAAUGGGUCCUAAAGAUUAAGACACUACAAUAAAUUAUAAACGGAUAGUUGAUAAUAAAAUAGUUUGAACAUAAAAGAAAAUAACUUGCAUGGUUAUAUGUAUCCAAAUAGUUAUUAUUAAUUAAUAUUAUACUACCUUCUGACCAAGCGGCAGUAGCAAGGAUAAUGCUAAUAAUAAUAAUAAUAAUAAUAAUACCUAGUAUGAGCGGGCUAAAUUCAGGGGUCCCACACUUUUGUCAACAUCGUAACUUGGAAUACUCAACUUCGCGACUUGGAAAAAUAAUAAUGCAUAUAUAUUUGCUUUUGUAGAGAGACCAAACGGUGUUCAGCUCAUAAAAAAUAUACUAGUAAAUUAUUUUAACAAGGCCUUUUUGCAUAAAAAAUCUACUUAUUUUGGGCUUUUGCAAAACCGGGUCACCUUUUUCGUUUUUGCAGAUUCGGUCCGCUUUUUAGCAAACUGACCAAAAUACCCUUAUUACUUUUUCUCUUUCCUCUUUCUCUCUCCUCUUCGUUUCUGUCGUUCUUUUUUUUUUCUCGCCGAAAAAAAAAAGGCGGACCGUCGCCUUCUUCUUCACCGUCGUCUCCCUCCUCACNAUGACCCGAUUUUGCAAAAGCCCAAAAUAAGUGGAUUUUUUAUGCAAAUUGGCCUUUUAACAAAGAUUUCAUACUUAAUUAUUAUGACAAUUAAUUAGGAUAGAAUCUUGACUUAGUACUUAGAUAAUCCAAGCAUGUGAAUAAUCAGCCAAUUAUAUUAUUUUCUAAAAAAAAUAUAAUAAAAAUAUUUUUUAAUAAUUAUAAUAAGACGAAUGAAUUGAAAAAAAAAACUAAUUAAUUAAAAAUACUAUAUCAAUAAUAUAAUUGGUACAUACUAGAUUUUUUUUUUUUUUUUCUGUACAUGUUGCUGCUGCUGCUCGUGUCAUAGGAUAUGUUUUUGUAAAAUUAAGCAGUUAUAAAAUUGCGUGCAUUCAUGAUACAGUUUGAUCAGUCACAUGUCGAUGACGUGAUAAUUGCAUUUAUUCUGCAUGAUAAAUACACAUAGAACGCGCCUUACGGCAGUUUUAGUCCCUCACACGGUCACACUGAACCCGUCAUUCUCACAACAUAUACUCCAAUGGCAAUCCCAACUGAUGAAGUGAAGGACGUCGCCAUCGCCGCCGCCGCCAUGCACUCCGCUCCUCCUCCUCCUCCUCCUCUGCAGUCGUCGUCGUCGUUGUCAUCGCUCCCUCGCCGCAUGAUCAAACCCUCCCCACUAGUCCUACUCAACGGCGCCCUCAUGCUCCUCGGCGGCGGCGGGCCUCUCCUCCUCCGCCUCUACUUCGUCCACGGCGGCCACCGCCUCUGGCUCCCCAGCCUCCUCCAGCUCUGCGGCUGGCCCCUCCUCCUCCUCCCCCUCUCCUUCUCCUACCUCCGCCGUCGCACCGCCGCCAGCAAUUCCCCCCACCUCCACCGCCGCCGCCACAUCGCCCCGCCCCUCGCGGCCGCCUUCGUGGUGCUCGGCCUGCUCAACGGCCUCGACUGCUACCUCUACGCCUUCGCCUCCUCCGACCUCCCCCUCUCCACCUCGUCCCUCCUCAUCUCCACCCAGCUCGCCUUCACCGCCUUCUUCGCCUUCGCCAUCGUGCGCCAGCGCUUCACCGCCUACUCCGCCAACGCCGUCGUCCUCCUCACGCUCGGCCCGGCCGUGCUGAGCCUCGGCUCGCGGUCGGACCGGCCCGUGGGGGAGUCGGCGGCGCAGUACUCCACGGGCUUCAUCCUCACCGUGGCCGCGGCGGCGCUCUUCGGGCUCUUGUUGCCCCUCAUGGAGGGCGCCAUGAGGCGGUGGAGCAAAGAGGAGAUCACCUACACGCUUUUGAUGGAGUUGCAACUCGUGCUCGGCGUCGCCGGCACCGCAUUCUGCCUCGUCGGCAUGGUUGUCAGCAACGACUUCAAGGUAAUUAAUUGAACACACGUUAUUAUUAAUUUGUAGUGCUUAAUAAUUUAAUUUUUCAUUUUAACUUGUACGUAUAAUUAACAUGUAGACAAUUGAUAGGCAUAGGAUCAGCGAGAUUAAUGGUAGUAAUUAAUUUGAACUGAUCUUACCUAUAGAUUUUAAUAUGCACGACCUAAUUCGCCACUAAUCAUAGACUAUCAACAUCUAAUCCUAAACUAUUUCUCACAAAGUUGAUUUUCUCGUAACGUGGUAUCCGAGCUUAUCUAAGACUUAAUUUGCUAUUGAGAUCUAUCUAAUACUAUUAGAUAAAAUAAAAUUAGACUAAAAAAUAUAUAAAGAUAUACUUCUGCGCUCUGGUGGGACUAUAGAAAAUAUAUUGUAACCGAUUAAUCGCAAUAUGCAAAACGUAAUGUUACGUACGAAAAUAAAUAUUAUAUUUUUCCAUCGUACAUAAUUUCUCAUCGUAUGUAACGUAAUCUCUUCAUAAUCCGAUUCAAAAGAAGAAAAAAUUCAAAGUAAAAAAAAAAAUUUCAAAGGGAAUAGCAUUAGUUACCUCUUUCUCAAAAAAGAAAAAAUAUUAUUUCGUUGUUCUUUAUUUUUUCGUCGCACUAUUAUCUUUCUACAUAGCCUAUUAAUAUUUAUUGGAUCUAGUAUUUCCUUUUUCGAUCAAAACAAUUUGUUUAGUUCCAAUCCACUCGCAGGAGCACCAAUGUUUCCAUCACCGAGAUUGUUACAUGCUCACCCAGAUUUUUUUUUUUUUUUUUUUUGAGAAAUAGAUAACACACUACCCGUUUUGUUUAUUUCAUUUAGAAAUAAACUUAGCCAAAAAUGUAAAUCAACUAGAAUUCAAACUUGGGUCUCGAAUACCAACCAUCAAGUCUCAGGCACCAACCACCAAGUCCUUUUCCACUUGCACCCGGUCACCCAGAUAUUUAUUAACAUUCCAAUGCACUACAGCGAGUGAUGAGAGAGCGUGGAAAGUUGGGAGAACAUUUGCAUUAUUUUCGCAUUGAAUACUACUCUAGACUACAUUGCGACGGUUACUAGUAGAUGUCAAUUCCUUGAGAAAAGAAAAACUUGGCCGGCCAUGAUUGAUACUCGUUGAUCAUUUACCAAAACUUAACCAUCAAUACAUAAUUAUGAAAGAAAUAUUAUAUUUGCGGAUAAUGCAUUUGAUAGUUGAUAGAUUGUUUAUCAUGAUAAGGGGAUUUUUUUUUUUUGACAGAGAUAGAUAGCACGAUACCUACUUUAUUUAUUUCAUUUAAAAAUAACUUAAUUAGAAAUGUGAAUUAAUAAGGAUUCGAAUUUGAAAUCUCAAAUAUCAAUCAUCAAAUUUUUUGCCACUUACUCUAGAGACAGUCGGUCAUGAUAAGGGGAUCAAACACAAUCCACGCCAUGGUCUUAUACACCUUUCAUCUCGGCCAAUCCUCCUAACCUGUCACACAUAUAUAUGUACUACCGUUGUUGUUGGUACGUUGGGUGCAAUUAGUUGUAGAUUAAUCAAACUAGCUCACAUAUAUAGCACUAUCAUUUACUAACUAAAGUACUUUUUUUUUUUUACUUGAAGAGUAAAAUAAUGUGUUGCGGGACAAAAAUUAUAUAGGAUGCCUUAUCAUGAAGAUAGAAAUUAUAAGUGGUUCAUAUCUAUUGAUUAGACUGUCUCUUCUAGAGAUGUCAACAUGUCGGAUUCGGGGUGGAUUUUUAAAAAUUCAAACCCGAACCCGACUCCAAACCCAAGACCCGAAUCCGAAUUCAAACCCGAACCCGACGGAUUUUAAAAAUUUAUAUCCAAAUCCGAACCCGACCAAAAAUCCGAAACCCGAACUCAAAAAUUUGAAUCNUUAAAUCUAAAUUUUUAAAAUACAAAUUCAAAUAUAACAUCAUAUAUAUAUAUAUAUAUAUAUAUAUAUAUAUAUAUAAUACAAAAUAAAUUCGGGUUCCGGUAGGAUUCGGGUUCGGGUCGGGUACAGUCAAAACCUAUAUCCGAAUUCAUAUCCAAAUUCAUAUCCAUUUAGCAUCGAAUAUAUCCAUUUUAUUCGGAUUCAGAUUUGAAUAAAAUUUCGAAUAUCCAUACCAUUGACAUCCCUAGUCUCUUUUGUAAGAUGCUCGUGGCCCUCUAGUUGGGCCGGUGAAAACAAAGGCCAGUAUAGUGAUAGGCUUUGGCCCAGAUACAGAUAUUUUUUAUUGAGAGUUAAUUGGGCUCGCCCAAUCCAGGCCCAGUGUGAGAUGUGGUCGACGUAUAUCGCGGAGAGAUUGUUGCCUGGAGUUGGUUCACCACCUCAGCAGUGGAGUACGAAAAUCUCUGUGCUCUCGAAAGUAUACAAAGCGUACUCUCUCUAUCAGUGAGAAUAUAUUUGGAAGGAAUGAAGGUACGAAGAAUGAACUGCCUAAGUAAUUCAUGGCCAAUUUGGUGGGUCAGUUCCACGCAAUUUUUUUUUUUUUUUUUUUUUUUGAGAGAUAGAUAGCACGCUACCCGCUUCGUUUAUUUCAUUUAGAAAUAAACUUAGUUGAAAAUGUGAAUCAACUAGAAUUCGAACUUGGAUCUCGAAUACCAACCACCAAGUCCUUUGCCACUUGCUCUAAGAACGGCCGGUGAAUUACACGCAAAAUUGGUGGGUCAAUUCCACGCAAAAUUGAUCUCGUCACUAGGAAACAUUCUCAAUUUGAGUUUUCCCCCUCUAUGUUCUAGCUCUGCAUUUGCAAUAACAACAAUCCUCAACAAACUUAAAUUCAUAUCUAAACAAAGUUUAAAUUCGUUGUUCAAAUUUGCACAGGCGAUUCCUAAAGAAGCAAGAGAAUUUGGCCUUGGAGAAACCAAGUACUACAUGGUGCUCAUCUGGGAUGCCUUAUUCUGGCAAGCAGUUAACAUGGGCAUGGUAGGCGUCAUCUGCUGCGCAUCGUCGCUGCUCGCGGGGAUCAUGAUCGCGAUCCUUCUCCCGCUGUCGGAAAUCCUUGCAGUCAUGUUCCUCGGCGAGAAGUUCGACGGUAGCAAGGGCGUCGCCCUCGCCCUCUCCCUCUGGGGAUUUAUUUCUUACUUGUACGGCGAGAAGCGGCAGGGCGAAAAGAAAAGGCAAGCUGCGGAGGUGGAGUUGCCGGCGCCGUGAAGGCAUUACUUGCUGUUCGGAUAAAGGAAGCCAUCAAUAUCCUUUUUCCACCUGAAUUUAAGUUCUGUUUCGACAAAUUUGAAACUAUUCAAUUUCUAAGGCAUUCGAUUUACUGCAUGCGAAGAAUCUAUGAGAAACGCAUGAAUUCAAAUAUGUACAGUUGGAAGCUUAAUUUGCUGCAACACUUCUCCCCCUUCCAACAUGUACAAUUUGUUCUAAAAUCAAAUUUGGUUGGAAUCAAAUUGGAUUUAACGGGAUUCUACAUCAUUAAAUAAUCUGAAAAAAUUAUGGUAUGAAAAAUUAUCCAUUGAUAAGGUCUGAGCUAGUAAAUUCUCGCGGAGUAUUUUUAUUGUUCAUAUAAUAUUGUUCGUAUGUUCGAACUAAAUAAUAACAAAUAUUUUUAACUUAGUUCAUUUGCGUACUGUAAUACAUUACAAAAGUUUUGUUAAAAUCCAAAGAAAAAAAAAAAUAGCUUGAGAAUUUUAAUUAAUUAAUUCAUACACAACAAGGUACGUGAUUUUAGUGUCACGGCAAAAUCAGAUGUUGGAAAUCGUGUCUGAGGCCCGAAGUAUCCGUGGCCUUUAAAGGAAGUCAACGCCACGUCAUAUCCGACGUUUCCCGUUACGGGGACGAAGCUCAGUUCCCAAAAAAAAAGAAAAAAAGAAAAACUACGCUGCUUCUCGAAGAAGCUUACUGGAACCCCUUAUGCACCGCACCUGAUUUUUGUUAUUAAUUAAUUUUUAAAUUAAAUAUUAAUCCAAUAAUUAUGGUCUUAAUCACCGAAAGGGACGACAUAUAAAAUAUUGUAAUGUUCAAAACCUAAUGCCAAAAUAUCAGGUAGACUUAAAAUAUAUAGUAGAAAAAUGAUUUAUUUGAUUUGUGAAAGAUAGGUGUCUAGAGUUUUUGAUUUUUACAUAUAGAUUUUUAAAUAUUAUAGAACAUACUUAAGAAAUUAUGAUUUCAGAGUACAAACAGAAUAUUUUGAAAGUUAAAGGGAUCAUUUAUGUUAGUAUUAUUUAUGAUAAUAGGAUAUCCAAAUCGCUAAUCAACAUUAUCAAAUUUAAUCUAAAAUAUUUGAAUAAUCUAAAUUACAAAUUUCACAAAAAUUUAACAUUAUUCUAAUAUUCAUGUGUCAUAAAAUUGACUUAUUUUUAAUGGCUAAUUUAUGAUAAAAUUUGAGACAAUUUAAUCACUUAAAAAAUAAUGUUAAAAAUUAAUAAUAUUUGAGCUCUAGAAAUUUAAAUAGUCUAGAAUUAAUUUGUUAAAAGACCCCAAUCAUCAAUUCGAAUAUCCUACCAUGGAAAAUAAUACGAAAAUAAAUAUUUUCAUUUAAUUACUUGUAGAAAUAUUCUACCCCUACGAAUGAGUUUGAGAGCUCUAUCAUGGAGUUUUUGAGACCGUGGUGUAUGAGAUGUUUUUGUACACCCGGUUCAUGCAAACAUUUCGUACAAUCCGAGCUUAGAUGUUGUUUGACUUUUUUCUCCAAUAGAAACGAAACGUUAUAAUUAAUCUGUUGACUUGCACAUUAAUUAUUUCUCUUUCAAUCUUCAACGUAAGUGCAUGGAUUCUUUUUGCGAACUUUGCCGUGCGAGUUUAAAAUUUUUUGAAGUGAAUUUUAAUCUCUUACUAUUGGUUAUUAGACUUUUGCUGUUUCUUUACUUGAUUCCGAAAUAAAAGAAUUAAUUAAUUUUCUCUUACAAAAUGGGUGUCAAAUUAUUUUUUAUCAGUCAAGAACUGUACGUAAAAUAUUAUAUGGAUCACGUUCUAAUUUAUUUACUAUUUCUGCUCGUUGUUCAAUUGGAUUUAAUAAAUCUUAAUAUGUUAUAAUUAAGAACCAUUUCUUUAAGCUGAGGAGCCGUUGAUAGGAUAUAUAUAUAUAUAUAUAUAUAUAUAUAUAUAUGUAAUUAGUGUUGAAGAAUUUGAAGCGCGUAAAGCUCAAAUGCUUUACAUGAUAAGUACAUGAGCUUAAAAAAAUUGCUAAUUCCACUAUUUUUUUAAUUUACUUAAUAGGUUUUGGAAUUAAGGAUAUAUUAAUUUGAUUCUUCAUAUGUUAGUGCUUAUAGGCUUUCAUUGUACGUGCUACGUUGCAAUCGCAGUUCAAUUACUUGUUGAUAAUAGUCGGUUUGAAAAGGUAAGAUAAUUUCAAUUGUCAAAUAUAAAAACAUGAAAAUAUUAUUUUCUCGUAGCUUAUAUUUUUUAGAGUAAUUCAUGCAUCGUUUCGCAAGUAUAAAUCUAGCUUCCAAUAGAUUUUGAAAUAUUGGUCCAAAAAAACUAAGACAAUAACUUAUCGACCAAUAAAUGUAAACUGCGUGCGCUCCAUCUCCAUGUGCACAAACUGGUUAAUUACACUUGUUCAAGUUAUUUAAAAUCAAUUACUUAAUUUUCCAGCUAAGUCAAAUUAAUUGAAAUACAGAUAAGAAAAUUCUUGUCGUAUUUUGGACAUUGCGUACAUUGCAUGUGCCUUAUAAGUGAUUACGCUACUUUAUAUAUGAUAACAUGAUAAUGAUGCGUGUGAUCUUUUGAUUCGAAAUGUAGCGAAAAGGAGCAUAUUGAUUCCCUUCCUACUCAAGAUUCAAAUUUCACGUGCACGUACCAGCUCCAAGCGAGUUUUAGUCAUCGCAUGCACGUGAGAUCCUUCUCCUGUAAUUUUCUUUUUUAAGAAAAACUUUAAAUAUUGUUUUAGUUUAAUGAAUUUAUAUUUUACUCUCUAACCACUUUAUUUGCUUCGUCUUUUUGUAAUAAUUUAGAAAUUCUUUCGUCAACCUUAGAUUAGAAAUGAUACGCAAUAUAUAAAGCGAUAAUAAAGCGUAAUAAGUAAAACCUACAAAAUAUAUAAUUUAAAAAAUUCUUUCGUCAAUGUUUUAUUACUCUAGCUGUGAUUCUACCGACAAUAAAGCGUAAUAAGUAAUUAAAACCUACAAAAUAUUAUAAUACAAAUAAGUUAACAAAAAUCGAUAAUAUAGGCCGUAAAAAAUUUGAUAGUUGAUAUCCGAAGUUUCAAAUUCUGAAAUUUAAUUAUUUUAUAUAUAUUCAGCAUUAAGUUUAUGUUUUUAAACGGCAUAAGAUUACUUCCGAAGAAAAAAAAAAAAGAAAGGGAAAGGAAGAGAAAAAGUUGGAAUGGAUCCUUUGGGAUCAACUCCAUCUGUUUCCAUUAAUAUUCCAAUCUCUAAUUAAAUGGUGCCCACUGAUCCAAUCUGGGGGAAGGCACAUCCACAACAACAACAACAACAACAACAACAACAACUACGUACUACUACUACUCCCAUGGGCAUUUCAACUGCAACUAAUCCCCACCAUUUUACCACAAAACUCCCCCAGUACGCCAAAAGGAGAAGCUUCUCCUCCACCUCUUCCUCUUCUAGCCACUCAGCCCCUAAGCGCUUCCUCCUUGCCCUUGUCACCUUCCUCGCCCUCCUCCAUAUCCAAACCCUAACCCACACCCUCAACAACCACCUCAAGCUCCCCCUCUCCUCUUCAUGGCCCCUCGCCUUGUCUCUCCUCCCCGCGGCCGCGCCGUCCGACAUCGCCUUCCUCCCGUUGAAGGACCUCCGCUUCUCCAACACCCCCAUGGACGGUGAGCUUUUUCUUCUGAACAACAGUUAUUUCACAUGCAUAUAUGGUAUUGCUAUGUCUUAUUUACUGUUAGAGAAUAACGAUUGUUUCGCAGGUAACACAUGGUUCAUGAGCUCCCUUAACGACACUUAUGAGCCCGGCGAAACCGAACACCUCCGCUUCCCUUCCGACGCCUCCGGAGGCCGCCUGUUGUGCCUUGCAGGCAGCAGCGCGUCGGACGGCACGCGGAACGCGUACGCACUGGCGCCGCCGCAUGGUCUGCGUGGCGUGCGGUUGCUUCGCGGGCUCACGUUCGUAUCAGACACAUACUACGACUACGAGAACCUAUGGCACGGGCUGUCGGCGGUGGUGCCGUUCGCGGCAUGGCACGCGCGCAACGGGUGCGUGCGGCCCGCACGGUGGGUGCUGUACCACCAGGGGGAGCUGCGGACGGGGAUGGGCCCGUGGGUGCGGAAGGUGGCAGAGACAGUGUUCGGGACGGCGAUGCAGAUGGAAACGUUCGAGGGGGGUCAGCCCAGGUGCUUCGAGGAGGCAGUGGUGUUCCGGCACAACGAGGGGUCGAUGACGAAGGAGAAGAAGAAGAGGGUGUACGACAUGUUGCGGUGCAAAGCGAGGGCGUAUUGUAAUGUGAGUAGAGAGGCAGAGAAGGAAUCGAACGAGUUAGAGAAGGUCGUAAUAAGAGUGACGUUGCUGUUGAGGGUGGGGGCGAGGUCGUUUAAGGAUGAUAAGGGGGUGAUAAGCGUGUUCGAGAGGGAGUGUAAGAAGGUGGAGGGGUGUCGCCUCACGGUGGCGAGACCCAACAAUUUGACCUUCUGUGAUCAGGUAAUUGGUGGCUCAUAUAUCCGCCCUUUCCUUUCCUCCUUUUGCUUUGUUGAAUUCGAUUAUUUACUGAAUCCGAUCGAAUUCAAUCAAUGUAUAUAAUCUGCACUCAAUAACAAUGGCUUAUGGAGAAAAAGAAAAAAAAAAAAAGAAAAAAAAACACAUGAUAACAUCAAAAAAUUAAUAAUCCACAAAAAUAAUUGACCGCACCGGUGGUCCAUUGGCAGGUUAAACUAAUGAGCGAAACGGACAUCCUGGCGUCGCCGCACGGGGCGCAGCUCACGAACAUGUUCUUCAUGGACAGGAACAGCAGCGUCAUGGAGUUCUUCCCUACAGGGUGGCUCAAGCUCGCAGGCCCCGGCCAAAAUGUCUUCCAGUGGCUCGCCAGCUACUCCGGGAUGCAGCACCGAGGGGCCUGGCACGACCCCAACGGCGACCGCUGCCCCUACGCUAACGCCACUGCCCGCUGCAUGAGCUUCCACAAGAACCGCCGCAUCGGGCACAACACGGCGUUCCUCGCCAAUUGGACGUCGACGGUGCUCCGCGAGGAGCACCGUCGCAUGGCGGCCGUCGACCAGGCCAAGCUCAAAGCGAGCCAAGGGCCUUGUCAAUGUGACUAGCUAGCUGAGUUAGCCGACACGGCCGACCUGGGGGCUGGGGAACUAGAGAGCGGAAUUGUAAGAAUUGAAACGUAUAGAGAGAUGUGUCAACAAUAAAGACCUGAACAUAGCUCAGGUCGUACAACGGCCAAAGUCACAAAAGGCAACACAAAAGCGUGUAUAUAACAUGCUGCUUUUAUAGUAAGAGAACCAUUUUAAAAAUUUCUUUUACAAGUUCGAGACACAAAGUUCCCCAAAACAGAAUGCAAUAUACUGCGAAAGUUUCCACAUUCUCAAAUUGAAUUGUAUUCAAUGUGUGCGCCUCACUCAAGGAAUUCGGCCAAACAUCGCUUUUCCAUUUCUUUAGUAUAUUAUCUCAAACUAGUGUGCAGGAAAUCACCUUAUAUGUCUUCUGGUCAAAAUAAACAAAAAGAAAAAAAUAUAACUUUUAUCGCCUCGUUAUCAUUAUUUUCUAUUAUAAAUACUUUUCAGAGUCUAAUAUAUAAUGGCUGCUAGACAUAAAUGUGUUGUCUCUAAUGUUAACUCAUAUAUUUAAACUUAAAAACAGUACCAAGGAGUCGCUAAAUGCUGCUAACAUGUCUACGAACACGAGGCGAAGCUUGGAUUAUUGAGGUUGUCCAUGUACGAUUGAAAUCAGUUUCCGCUAUUCUUGUGAAAACCAAGUUCUAGUAAUUCGCACAAGCCUAGAGAGAUUAACAAAAACUGUUCAUACCCCAAAACUGAAUUAAUUGCGGAGCUAAAGUUGUACAGCCCAGCAGAAAAAAAUAAUAAUAAAAAACUUCUAAGUAUAAGCACAUUUGGAAGCAAUAUAAGACUUUUAAUGAAGCAGUAUGAGAUUUGAGCAACUUCCACAUAUUAUAUGUUGGAUUAUAUAAUUCCUACUCUUCAGGUUACUACUGUUCCAAGUGAGAUAGGGAUUUAAGGACAUUACUCCUACCAUUUUACCUGCCUACCCCACGUGGGACAAAAUUCACAAAAUUUCAGAGUUAUUUAUGAACCCUAUCUUAGCAUUAGCAAUGCACUUGUAAAAGAGGAAUACUUCUUAGUUACUCAAGCCGCACUGGUGAAACUUAGUGCCGACCGCUUUGAACUUUUUGUCUCUUCAUGUGCUAUGAAAUUUGGACCAGAGAUAGACCGCAAAGAAGCAGAGCAGAGCAAAGAGGGCAACAUGGACUACUACAUGGUUCGAGCCCUGUUGUAUGAUUCUCCGGUUCAUUUUCCUUAUGUUGUUCUUCAACCCCGCCUGGGCUUUUAUGAGAGUCAUUUGCUGUACAGUAACCAAAAUUGCAUCACACAAAGCUUGAGGCAUGGAUGUAAAGAAAUAAUUAACGGACCGCCCCAUCUACAAGUCGUUUAAUUAGUAGGACUUGACUUAGGUGCGCAUGGGCUCAUGUGAGUACAGACUACAGAAUGAUACCAUACAAAGGAUUUUGACUGAUGAAAUCUGUUACCACAGGCCAGUUGAACAUGGGUCAAAAGAGAAUCAUACAGUAGUAAGAAAUAAUUAGAUUUACAAAUGUCUACAACUGACAUAAGUCGGAGGACUAUCAAGCUAUAUGGAAACAGAAAUCGAAAUGGAAGGGAAACGGAAAGAGCAAAGAGUAGUGACUGCAAUGAACAUAGGCCAUGUGAUAUAGGCAUAGCGCAUUAUCAAAUUGUCGCUAUAUGGUUGCAUUUGUACUUCUUAAGUGACCUGUUUCUUAAGGAUCUUUGGUUUACCCCCAUUGUAAUUUGGGUUUAAAUCAGGUUUCGAUCCACACUAAAACGUUUGAUCAUGAUUUCAUGAUCGACUACAGUUUCGAAUCCAUCUCUACAUGAAAACCUGUAUCUAUUUGAAAACUCAAUCUAAAACCUUUUAAAAUUGUAACUUCAGGUAGAAAACCUAAGAAGCCAUUAGAAAUUUAGGUAUGUAUGCAGUACGCGUGCUAAUUUAACGAAAUUUGUGAAAGGUGCAUAUUAAAAACACAAAUAGUGGCCUCAGGGCAUCUAAUUAAGUGAUACAAAUGAUACCACAGGGCCUCAAUGACCAAGAGCCCACAAGGCCAAGCUUGUUUUGAGAGAUCUAUUACCAACGAGGCCUUUGAGUGCAACGGGUUCGGGCUGGACAGGACCAUGACACCGAAUGCCAUAAUUCACCUAUGGGCCUAUUAUCAAAUGGGUGUCUAAAAUUAUGAAGCUACUGAAGGGCAAAAGCGUCAUUUAGAUAAAACAAUCAUCAACUUCUUUUUUUAUGUGCAGCUUGCUGAUGGUAGUCAAAUCGCAAAUGGAAGGGAUAAACUUUCAAAAUAUAGGAGGACAUAUAUGAUCAAUAAACAAGUAUGCAAAAUUACUAUUUUGCAAGUACACAUGUGGCUGGCACGUGCGUGAGCGCGCGUGCACAAACACACGCACAGAUACAGAUAAUGGUGCAAAUUAUGGAACUAACCAAUUUAGAUAUGAAGUCCUUUUGAAACUGGGCUUCUGUUUCUAUCUCCUGAGCUACCUGCAAAAUGUCAUAUUGAAUUCUUGUAAAAUAUGUGCAUAAAAAAUUCUAACUUGAUGAGAAUUCUUAACAACUGAAAGUAGACAAUUUAGAUAGUGCAUCAAAUAAACAUAGUAGAUUUAGAAACUAAUAAAAAAGCAUACAAACAUACUACAAAGUGACCAAAAAAAUGGUUGAGAUUAACUUUUCUGUAGAGCACAUAUCAUGUAGCAUUAAGACAACAUUUUCCUCACACUUGCAUGAUUGAUGAGAAGUCAGGUCCAUAGCGCUAUCUUAAGACAAUUGCCUACAGUUAAAUAAACAUUUUGACUAUAAUAUAGAUGAAGCAAUGUUAAAAUGAAGAAUAUAAGGAAAGAAGCUGUGCCAAAUUACUCUUUCUUAUUCCUUCCAUUAAUCUAUACACUGAAAAAUAAUUAAAACCAGGCCGUUCACAUAAAAAUGCUAAUAGAUUUUUUAAAUGCGUUAAGUGUUAAUAAUACAGCAUCUACCAACAUUCAACAAACAAAGGUUUUGUAUCCCCAAUGACAAGGCUUCUCUGUUUAGCAUUAAUCUGCUCAAUGAAAGAAGUAAUAAAAAGAUAACUUUGUUGUGCAUCAUACAUUAUUCAUUCGGAAUCGAUGAAUUUAGGUUUGGGGUAAUCAUUGUUUCAUCAGCUUAAAUUUUUUAACUAUAUACUGCACUCAACGUGCAUUCCCUAUAAAAGUAACUUUACUACAAGUAAGCAAUAUACUCAUCAUUUUCCUGCCUCUUCUAGGUAUUGCUAUUUACUAGGAUACUUUGAAACCUAGGGCAAUCCCAUCCCCAAAAUUUCAUCGAAAGGAAUCAAUUGAGAAAGAGACGAAGACCCACCCCUUUCAAUCUCCGGAUCUGGCCACGGAGCCCGGUGAUACUCUCGUCCAAGUCGCCGUGCAUCGGAUCGAUCUGCAGCUGUAUCUCUUCCGAUCUCUCCGGCGCCGCCGUGGACCUAGCGAUGAGCCCUUCCCUGCAACAGCGAAAUCGAUAGGGAAAUAGGAGAAAUUGUGGAAAUUUGAAACCAUACUAGGACACGGAGAUCGCGAGAGAGAGAGUUCGGCCAUUGCAGGGGACAAGAGAUGUACCUGGAUCGAAGAGUAUGGGAGCCGUGGAAGGGAUUCGCCAUGGGAAGAGGAGGAGGAGGAGGUGGUGGUUAGGGAGGAGCACGGAGAAGACGAGCACGAAAUUUGAAGCGGCAAAAAUGGAAGGGAAAAGGGAGCGGGAGUGAGGGGAGGCGACUCCGCGAAAGAAUCGUAGGGCCGAACCGGCCGGUUCGCCAGUGGACCGGAAUCGCAAAAAGAGAUGGACCGAAUAAGCAUUGUAAAUGGGUUGCGUUGGGUCGAUGGGCUAAAUUUGGGCCCAUGGACCAAAGCAAUUGGCCCAAAUAUAUAUAGCUUCUUUUUUUUUUUUUAGAAACUAUUUUCGGGAGCAGCGAAAAAAAAAAUACGAGCGAGUGAUAUAAGUAACAUUUGAGAAGCAUAAGAUGGCAUAAGAUGGACAUUUAUGUUACAUAACCAAAGCUGAUUCGCAUACAUAAACACAUUGAGCUAAAACGUGUGUGGCUCAAGCCAAAAGGAAGAGUAGGUGCACCCCAACCAAACAUGUUGGGGGGGUAAAUGCAACACAUCUCUUUCCUCUACCUUCUCCCUCUUUGCAUAUACUAGCUUCAACGUAAAGCACACUACCUUUAUUAUUCUGAUUACAUUCCCUGUAGUCACCAUAAAAAAAGAAGUUGUGGGCGUUAAAAGUUUGAACAGCCUAUGUAAAGAAAGCACUCAUACAGCCUUAUAUUAUUCUAUGUAGAACUUAAUCUUGUCCUUGUCACAGUAGGGCCCAUUCUGUUACAUCACACUUAUGUUUUUAAAUAGCUAAAAUGAACAACUCAAAUUGUGAGGUGUUGAGGAGACACAGAAUGUUGUAAACUGUUGCUCUAUGGAGCAGGAGCAGGAGCAGGAGCAGGAGCAGGAAAAAGGUUCAUUUCUCUUCCUCUUCUUCAAUCUUGUUCUUGUUUAUUUCAAUCUAAAAAUAAGCAAAAUUACAGGGUCCAAGGUUGAUGAACCACUUGAUCGUGUUCAAACAAGCUCCACAGUGCUCGAUUACAUGGUGCGCUCUCUCACAUACAUACUCAUUACGUCAUAUACCGGAUUAUACUAUACAAGCAAAUUUGCAUGUGACAUAUUAGCAAACUAGCACACAAAAUAACAUACAAGAGCAGUAUUAUGUACACACUGCUAUACAAUACUGCAAGACUAUGGCAUUAAUCCACAUUUCUUCUGAAUAAUAAUAACAAAGUUUGCUAUUUUUAUUGCUAUUUUUCUUAUGGCCUCGUUUGGAGCCUAGGAUUGAGAUAUUUAGGACUUUAUAUUGCUUUCCUUGAGCACCAAAUUUGAUCAAUCAAAAUACAACUUAGACAUCAAAGAUAUAUGGAAAUCCUCUUUGCUAAGUGCAGGGAGUGGCCAAUACAAAUGCAAUGACGGAGAACGAACAAAAGAUCCGGGAUGAGUUGGAGUCCGAAAUUGAGAGGGGUUUGGAAGAAGAGAUUAAAGAUGGCAUAUAUGGCCUCGCACUCCGCCUCCAAAGAUUGUAUCUGCACAAGCAGCAUAGGAAGAUGUCGGCAUCGUCAACUAGUUCUAAUAGGGAACCAUCGCACGGACCAAAAAGUGAACGUCUCUCCGAGCUGAAUAUCAUUAUUAGAUCAGAUGGCAAGAGCAAGAUUGAGACAUAUGAAGUCAAGCCCAGUUUUCACAACCUAGUUAGACCAUACAGUUCUCGAUCUAAAGCUAAGCAAGUAAAGUUGCGCAAUUGCAUCAGUCAAUUGGAUCAGUCGAAGUUACUUCGACCGCAAAAAGGAUUCAUAGGUGGCAGUAAAAUGAAUAGCUCUUUGGGGUUCGAACCUCAAGAGGAAUGGUUGGAUGCCUCUUGUCAAAAUGACAAACAGUUCGAGAGGAAAAAUAAGAAAAAGAUUGGCUCGGAAUGGAAAUAUUAGCAAACCUGGAGUAAUACUAAGUGAACGGAAUAAUAAAACUGCAAAACCAGGCUCUUCAGAGCACGUCCAGGAACCUUACCUUAUACUUGUAUUAAAGUUGUGUGAAUAAAUCUUGUUUGUGAAAUAUGAAGAAUAAAUAUGAAGAGAUUGAGAAUUGAAACACUAAACCACCAUGAUUUUUGUGAUGUUCCAUUUUACCAACUAGCCUGUAGCAAUAGCUAAAAUUAUUAUCGCACCAUAUAGUCUUCAACGAAUUGUCAAUACAUACAAUCUAAUGUAAAUUAAAAUACUCGGCUCCAAUAUUUUCUACCAAAAAAAAAAAAGCAAAACUGAAUAGAAAUAAUGGCAACCUUGUGUUUUCCUAUGGUUGUAAUGUAUACAUUCACAGCGGAAUCAAAAUACAUAGCACUCACACUAUUCUCUACCAGAAAUGUAGAUAGGAGCUAUCGCAUACUUAGCUUACGGCCAUUCUCCCAAUCAAACAGACCAUACCAAAUUUACAUCUCAGAAAAAAAACCAAAUGCAAUAUCAUUACAGAAUCAUGAUCCAAUAUAAAACAGAUAUUGAAGUAGAACAAAACUUUGAAUUUCUAUAUCUUACAGAGAUAUGAGAACUGAACUUCAAUCUAUUAACCUUAAUAGAUGGUGAUUCCAGAAGACAACUAGAGAAGCUAAUAAUUUUCAAUUAUAUCAAGUGCCUAAUGUAUGCUUUCAAUGAAACAUCAAUUUCUGUGAAGUGAAAAUGUUAAUUAACAAGAGCCACCUUUCACGAUAAAUGAAUAUUUCUAUAAUAGAAGCCACUUUUCAAGAUAAGAAUACAUGGACGGGAGUGAAAUCAAAGUGACAUAAACAUGUAAAUUUAUUCACAAGCAUGAUAAUAUAUAACAUCUCAAAUCAGAAGAAACAAUCAUUUAAAUAAAGAAAUGAUAAAAACACAAACACCUCCCUGUUUUUAAGUAUAUAAGAUAAACCAAAAAGUUCAAGCAUAAAUGAUAUUUUUAAUCUGAACAUGACCCUGUAUAUAAAGCAUAGACACCACCUGAACAAGUAAGAGCAGAUGUAUAUAGUCAUUGUUAGGGUUGCACAUUCUGACCGCCACCAACAGCCUCCUUCAGACUUUUCACGGCACUGUCAUAGUUCACGAAACCCAUGAACCAAAACUCAUGGUUGUCAAUAGAAACAACCUGAAUAUAUUUUUCUGCUGGAUUUGCUUGGCUUGUGGAAGGGUUAACAGAUCUCAGCUGCUGUAGAGGAAGCAACACCUGUUACAUUUCAAAAGAAAAACAUUGGUAUAAGCCCAUGUUUGUAUUCCGUAAGAAAAAGGUCAUGUUAACAAGUGCCUAUUAGGAGUUCAGUCAUAAAUAGUCAAACCAACUUCUAGAAGCAGCAUGACUAUUCUAGGCCUAUCCUUGUAGCCAAUACAGAACUAACUAGUCAACCUGACUCAGCAUUCGCCAAAAACUGGGGAACAUGCUAUAAAAUACUGGGAAUGCAUAUAAACAAUUCUUCCAUAGCAUGAUAAGUCCAGAAAACUGAACUACUAAAUACGAUAAAAAUUGUCAGAGAUAAAAAGAAUUUUGACCCAAAAAUAAAGAUCGCAUGAAGACCAAACACAACAACCCCGUAAAACCCCAGAAAACUGAACCACUAAUUUAAAACUGUAUAGACCUUACUCAGACUAUGGCGCAUUUUUUGAAAUAGGCAUCUGAGCUUCCAAAAGUUUUGCUUUUACUCCUAACUUAGAGCAUAUUAGAGCUCUAAAUUAGAGCAUACUCACUUUAGACACAUCACAGAAGAAGAUCAUGUGGCAGUCUCAAGAGAGAUGGUUGUGUUGAACAUCAGUGAAUAUACAUAAAGUUAAUGAAUAGAUGAACCUUGUAGUAGCUCCAUUCAGUUUUGUCCCCAACUUUAUACGAAAGUGGAUUGUCACUACAAAAUGCAAGCUUUGCGGUGGAAAGGUACAAAACUCCCAUAACAGGACCAGCGGAGGUCGAAAGAUAGCAUGCGUAUGCUUUCUUAAGUUUUUCGUCAGGAGCAGUGUCAAAUGUUUGUUGAAAUAUUUUAUCGUAACCACCUUCUGCUAUGACUUUUGUUGUUUGAGCAAUUCUACCCAUUGCUGCAUCCGCAACGCUAGGUCCUGUUUUCACUGUUUCAAGAAUGAUAGUUUAAUCAUGAUAGCAAAAACACGAACAAGCAUCAACACAUACAAAAUCUAUAAAAGAUUUGCUGAUAUGCAAUUGCAUACACAAAAUGAGAUGGAGUAUAUACUCUUUUAAAGAUUUAUCAGGAAAACAAAAAAAAAACUGGUUUUGUAACAAUAGCUUCCAAGAAAUAAGAAACUAGUAAAAGUUGUAUUUAGCAUAUAAAAAACCUACUGUACAUGAUUAAGAGACCAAAUAAUGGCCACAGUUGAGUAUCUUCUCUUGAAAUAUAUAAAAUGUGUAUGCACAAAGUUGGGCAAGUAUCAGAUCCACUAAUAUGCAAUUGAGUUGAUACAAGAGCCAAUACUCAAGCCAGUGGCUCUAUGUAAAUUCAACUUUUCCUCUGUUCAUCCCUUCAUUUCUUUGUUGUUGUAUUCUUCUAUCAUCUAUAGUUUUUAAGAAAGCGGAGGAGAAAACUAAGAAAAAACAAAAACAAAGAUCUACCGUCAAUUAGAGAUUUCACUACUGUGAAAGGGAUAAACCAGGGGCGGCAUUCACUGAUCUCAUUCAGGCACCCAAAAACUUAGAUGCAUGAGCAAAGAAUAAGCAUGUCCUGGAAGGAACUAAAGCUCAAAUUGAUAAAUAUUAAAAAAAAAAAAAUUUGAAACAUCUAUCUAUAUCUAUACAGUUGCAGCAUAAAUUUCCCAUCAAAAACCAAGCAUCCAGUUUCAAGUACGGGUUUUAUAUUGUUCCAUCAUGAUCAAUAAUGACACCACUCUCAGACUGAUCAAGGUCCCAUCAUAAGCAUUUUCGCAAGGAAAUAUAUUGCAUAUAAAAACUAUCCGUCAUUCAAAAGUCCAAGCUUUGAGCAAUCUACAACUAUCAAAUACUAAAUUAAAAUUUCUGAUAGUUUGCUAAGUACAGUAAAAACCACGCCACACCCUAAUAUACAAGCAUUAACCCAUAGAUCUCAUCAACAAGGACACAUCCACACACUUCUUCCAAAUUAAAUUCAAAAAUCAAAAUAAGUUGAUAAAAAGCGCACAAUUAAACCACAAAAUAUAGCUACUCACAGUGUUGCCAAACAUUCCCGGCCAAAUCCUCGGUCUUCUUCGCCGCGUCCCCGAACUUCUUCCCGAACUUCCCGAGCGCAUCGCGCACGGUAUCCAUCGUAUCUACAAAACCCCGAAUCAACCACAAAAACCAUCAAAUACUCCAUCACAACUCUAGUUACCAAUCACAAUCGAAUCAACGAACAGAGAGAGAGAGAGAGAGAGAGAGAGAGAUACUUUUGGAGGCGGGGCCGGGGGAGGCGGUGAUGUAGGGGUUGGGAUCCGCGGCCAUGGCGGAGGAGGAGGAGGAGGAGGAGGAGGGGGGAGGAGGAGGGGUGAGGUCCUCGGGGUUGAGCUUAGGGUAAGGGGCGUACUCGGGCGAGUGAUCGCCGUUGGAUCCCUUCUUCUCCGGGUGAUCGACGGUGGAUUGAUCCAUGGGAGGCGCCCGCGUCGGUGGCGUUCGAUGGAUCGGAGCGACUCCGAGAUCGAGCUCACAUAUAUAAUUAUUAUAUUAUGGGCAGGUGCUUCCUUACGAAGGAGGGGAUGAGACGAGAUCAUAUUAAUUUCGAGGUGUUAUCCAGAACAGUGGGGUCCACACUGACUGAUGAGGGAGGACUUGUCGUGGAUCCUGGACCUGGUGCACCACAUCAUCCAAUUAUCAUACGUGAAGUCUGACGUGGCACAACUGAAUGUUGGGCCCAAGCCCAAGUUGGAAAGGCUAGAUCGGGCUUCGGCAAACUGGGCCUUCAUAACUAAAAUUUUGGCCCAAAAUUGGACGGCCUCGGCCCGAACCUACUAGUCGCCCGUCCGAUAAUGGUUUAGCAAAAGCUUUAGUUUAACGGAGACAGUAUCUAACGCAAGAUUACUUCAUUUGCUGCUUCUAUGACCAUGUAAUAAUUGGUACGAAUCUUAAAGUCGUACAAAUAGUGGAUAAAAUAGUUUCAUCCUGGAGAGGUUUUUUUUUUUCAUUUUUUUCCUUUUCGGUUCGUGAAGAGAAUGAAAGUAAUAAUGGAAAAUAUGCCAAAAAUUUCGCACGGGGCGAUCGGGCUCGUUCAUAAGUUUGAAAGGAGCAGGACGAGACAUUCUAACUUUAAAUGCUGAAGCAACACAAAUUAACAUAUCUCGAUUUAAAGUAAUAUAAUAUUUGGGAAAAGAAAAGAAAAGAAAUAUCAUUGGGAGACUACAAUCCCAGAUGGACUUAGUUUCAAUAUCCAAAGAUUGGAGGGACUAAUAUGCAAUAACAUACAAUAAAUUGAUAAUGCCCAUCCUGGUGAUCUUGAUUACCUGAAUCUAGAUUGGUACUAAUUUAUUUAUUCAAUUAAAACCCACUUUAUUAUAAAAAUGAGCAGAAGCAAACCCCACUUACAUUGUGGGUAUGCACAAGUAAAUAAGCUAAAUAUAAGAAGAAAGAAUGGGCACCCACAUUCUCAUCAACAGCUAAAAAAACAAUACCUUUCCAAGAGCUUAAUUAGAAAUUUAGAAAAUCCAACAACCCUUGCUGAUGGAAGUGCUUUAACAAAAAUGUAAAGGCCCAAAGACAAAAGGCAAUGGGCUUUAACAUAAAAUGUUUGCUGGGCCCAAUUCGCUUUUUCACUUCAAAAGCAAAAGUUAAAUGUGUGACAAAACUUUAAAAAAAAAAAAAAAAAAGGGAAAAUCCAUGAGGUUUCUGAUAGGAAGCUGAUACCAAAAAGCAAAACUCCAAAUCACUAAAAUAUUUGAAUAGAAAAAUGGUUACUUUAUUCUGGCUAAUCUACUCAAAGCACUUUUGUAGAAGCUCCAAUCAAACUAAAGACCUGUUUGGCUCUUGAAAUAAUUUUUUUUUUAUUGAGAAAAUAAAACCUUCAAAUUUAAGUUUCUAUUUUUUAUUCUCAACUUUGUGCAAUGGAGCAGGCUAUUCUGAAUAUACCUAUACUGCUAGGAACAUAAAUAUAAAUGAUACCGAAAGACCAGUAAACCACCCACAUAUAACAAUAUGGAGUCCAAAAUCAUUAAUCUUUUUUAAAAGACAAAUAAAGAGAUCUAGAAAAGGCAACUUAAUUAAAAAUGAAGCUAGAGUAGAUGGAUCUUAAUGGGGGUGUGGUGGAUCAGGAUCAUGCCAAAGAGAUAGGCAUAGUGCAGUGGACCGCUCUCCUUUUGCCUGCUCUUGUGAUUUCCUCAUCCCCCAGUAGGGGUGUGAAUAAAUAAACAAAGAAGGGGUUGUUAUGGCUCAUGGGGUGAUGUUUGUUCCACUCUCAAUCAUGCAUAAAGUGGGGCCUUUGUUUAAUUUAUUGGGUUUGACGGGCAUUUACACUUGUACCAAUGAAGUACCAACAAGCUAUUCGUGGGAUUGUUGGGAGUCAUCUCCCAAGCUAUUGCUUUGUUUUUAAGGGCACUUAAUUGAAUCAUCUACAUGAGUGGAAUUUGUACAGAGAUACACUGAUUCUAUGUAAGGAACACUACUAAUAGUGGAAUUUCUUUUCUUAUAUAUUUGAGGGAUCCCUUGUUUAAGGUGAAUUUGUGAUUUUAGUUUCUCGUGUGCAGUGUGCAAGGGAUACAAAGUGGCAAAACAGAUUUGGCAUAGUGAUGAUUGUACCUACAUGUACUGCUGUUCUCUUAAUUUAGCCAUGAAAUGAAACGAGCCAAGUCUUUUAUAAUCCUAAAAGCUUGUUUAAUUCUGCUUUUACUUUUUUCAUAUUAAUGACAAUAACACGUCUGGACUUGAGAUUUUUUUAGUCAGCCCAUAACGUAGACUUGAAUUAAAUGGGAAAAAAUUAAUAUGCUAGGAGCCUGACGUGACUCGAACUCCGGACCUCCUAUUCUGAUAUCAUGUGAAACAAGUGUUGUACUCUAAAAGUUUAAACUAUUGAAGAACGAUGUUUAAAUAUUUUUAUAUUUAACGCGUAUAUCAAAACAAAAUUAAAAUAGAUUAAUAAAAGACAUAAAUGAGAUUCUAAUUAAGUAUCAACAAUAUAAGCUCUAAUAUAUAAUAUUAUUGAUUCUGUUGUAGCAGAAGUUUUUACGAGUAGUGUUUUCCGUAAUAGUGCUCUAAUUUUACUUCAUCCAACAGUAUUAGAGUUUGUACCACCAAACUUAUCAAAUUAGAUUACAGUGAGCUGGAGUUAUUUAACGAGAUAAAUUGUGCUUCGCCUCAAAAUAACGACGAAUAAUUUUGGAUGGCACGAAUAAUUUAUUUAUUUACUCAUCCUAAGUACAAACGGUCGAGUUCGGCUACAUUUGCAAAGGAUCAUCAAUCAAAAAAAAAAAAAUUGAUGAACGGCUCUGAUCGAACCUGGUGGGCCCCAAAUACGGCUGUACCCAAGCAGGACACGUGAGUACGUGACGGUCAAACAGAAACUCCCGUGCCACGAACCAACUUUGACCGAUCAAUAGAAUCCCACGCGAUUAGAACCACCCCAGGCACGUGCGAGCGCGCACGUGCAGCCCUGUUUUAGGUGUAGAACAAGUCUCUUUCCUUUGUCAUGUAACGCUACUUUAAUAUUCGCGCAUUAUAUAUAAGACGACGAUAUAUGAUUAAUUAGACCAUCUCUUAAUAAAAAAGAUUUUUAUAUAAUUUUUAAAAUUACCAAAUAUUAUUGUUGUCCUUUUAUAUAUAUAUAUAUAUAUAUAUAUAUAUAUAUAUAUAUAUAUAUAUAUGCAGGACUGCUGUGCUCUCCUGAGCCGUUUUCGAUGAUGGAGUUUCCGAAUCGACGAUCGGCUCCGUUAGANNNNNNNNNNNNNNNNNNNNNNNNNNNNNNNNNNNNNNNNNNNNNNNNNNNNNNNNNNNNNNNNNNNNNNNNNNNNNNNNNNNNNNNNNNNNNNNNNNNNNNNNNNNNNNNNNNNNNNNNNNNNNNNNNNNNNNNNNNNNNNNNNNNNNNNNNNNNNNNNNNNNNNNNNNNNNNNNNNNNNNNNNNNNNNNNNNNNNNNNNNNNNNNNNNNNNNNNNNNNNNNNNNNNNNNNNNNNNNNNNNNNNNNNNNNNNNNNNNNNNNNNNNNNNNNNNNNNNNNNNNNNNNNNNNNNNNNNNNNNNNNNNNNNNNNNNNNNNNNNNNNNNNNNNNNNNNNNNNNNNNNNNNNNNNNNNNNNNNNNNNNNNNNNNNNNNNNNNNNNNNNNNNNNNNNNNNNNNNNNNNNNNNNNNNNNNNNNNNNNNNNNNNNNNNNNNNNNNNNNNNNNNNNNNNNNNNNNNNNNNNNNNNNNNNNNNNNNNNNNNNNNNNNNNNNNNNNNNNNNNNNNNNNNNNNNNNNNNNNNNNNNNNNNNNNNNNNNNNNNNNNNNNNNNNNNNNNNNNNNNNNNNNNNNNNNNNNNNNNNNNNNNNNNNNNNNNNNNNNNNNNNNNNNNNNNNNNNNNNNNNNNNNNNNNNNNNNNNNNNNNNNNNNNNNNNNNNNNNNNNNNNNNNNNNNNNNNNNNNNNNNNNNNNNNNNNNNNNNNNNNNNNNNNNNNNNNNNNNNNNNNNNNNNNNNNNNNNNNNNNNNNNNNNNNNNNNNNNNNNNNNNNNNNNNNNNNNNNNNNNNNNNNNNAAAUUAGGCUCGCUCGAGCUCGGCUCGAAUUAAUUUCAAUCCAAGCUUGAGCUUAAAUUUAGGCUCGAAAUUAAUUUCAAGCCGAAUUUGAGCCGAGGGAAGCUCGCUCGAGCUCGGCUCGUUUCCACCCCUACGUUUAGGUGAGAGUAUACAUAAUAUUUUAGAUUUUGAAAAAAUAUAUAUAAUAUUUUGAAGUUUGAGAGGAUUAUAUUUGAAGAAAUAUAUAUAAUAUUGUGGGGAAUUAUAUGCUUAAAUUAAGCACGAGAAAUUUAAGCUUGUAGAUAAGAAUGAUUAAAAUGCAACAUCCGUAAAAGGAUAACGAUUUUGUUUUAGUUCCUAAUCGAAAAAAAUUUGGCAUCCGAUAAUUUCCCCGCGAUGGAUACACUUUAAUGAUGGGAAUGAGAGAAACAUCACACUUGACUAAUCACCAAUGAUGUGAAUUAUAACCCAUACAUAAAGAAGCAUAAGAUGACAUGAUCAAUAUAUAUAUUGGGUUAAAAAAAAAAGGGAAACUUUUAUGUAGUUAAACUAAUAACAACAAGACAGUGUAUUGUAAGCCCCACUAUAUUUAACAUCAAAUAAACUUAAAAAAAGUANUUCUUUAUACUAUAUAAAACAAGAUCAAUAUCUUUGAUUUAAAAUUUUAAUGUCAUAUUAUUAUAUUUUGUAAGAUUUUUAUUUUCAGCCGUUGAUUUUGAGCCCCUUUGUUCACUAGGCAAAUGAUAUCGUAAAAUCGUAAAAUUUAUUUUCUAGGUACUUCAAAUACUCUAGAUCAAGUUUAACAGCGCCGAUCAACGAUUCUCAAGUCGCAACAUCGAAAACGAGCUGGAAGUACGGAAGGCUCCGUGCUUCCGAUAGCAUAGUAACCUCACUAUAUAUAUAAAAAAUUAAGUUUGUUAUCUAAUAAGUGCACAUAUUACUGGAGAAAACAAAAAAUGGUGAUAAGCUGUACAAUCUAACAAGCUUUAUUAACAUUAAAGAAGAGCCGUUCCGUAUCUCCCGUGCAAAAGAAAACUUUUGCGAACUGCUUGACGAAGACAUCCAAUCCAAAAUUCAAAUCUCAUCUCAAUCGUUGACGCUGACGGAUACCUUCUUGAUGGACGGUCUGAUUGACCGCGAGAAUUUCUUGUGCAUCAGGGUUGCAGGAAACUCACGCCGUAUCUCUUGUUGCUUGAUCACCGUCACUAGCACCAAAUAAACAAUCCCACAAGCUAAAUCCAAAGUAUGGGGGCUUUAAUGAAUCCCAAUUAAAGAAACCAAACUCCAUUGAGCAGAGAAAGAGGCCAAAACCAACGCAACAUUAUUAUUAUUAUUAUUAUUAUUAUUUUAUUAAAAUUAUUAAAAUCUUAACUUGCAAGUGGGUUUAAACAAGCAGUGUUGGGUAACCGACUUUGCAGUGGUGCGAGCCUGUGAAUAGCCUGGAGAAUCCCAACGCCCAGAUGCACAGACAUAAAGAAUAGCCAAUCCAGUAAUAAAUAAAUAAAUAAAUAAAUACAAGGGUAAAGAUGUACGGAGAACUCCUGUGCUAUACUGAUAUUGCAACCUGAUGCUUAGGACUUUGAUUAUUGCAUUUAGCUCUUGCUUUUUUUCCUUUUUUUUCUUUUAAAUAGUUAUUUAUCUGUUUUUCGUAAAUAACUUUAGUAGUUUUUAAUUCAAAAACUAAUAUAUUUAAAUAAUAAUAUUGUGGAUUAUUAUUCUUAUGCACAUGAGUCCUAUUCAAAAAGAUUGGAGUGCCGAGCUCUAAAGAAAAAUUGAGUUUCGCUAAUUGCUUAAGGCCCCGUUUGGUUCGGGGGAUAAGCCGGGAUAACGAAAGUUAUCCCCGCUAUUCCGCCAAACAGAAUCAUUUUUUACCAGAAUAUUUUAUUCCGGUCAAAGCUUGCUAUUCCCGGUUAUCCCGGAAUAGCAAACUUUUUACUAUUCCACCAUUUUGGUGGAAUAGUGCUAUUCCAAUGCUUAAUUUUAAAUUUAAUUAAAAUUAUAAAAUGAAUUAAAACUCAAUUAUAUAAAUAUAAUAUAUUAUUUUUAUUAUAAAAUUAUUAAUUGUACUAUAUUAAUACAUAUUAUUUAUAUUUAAAUAUUGUAAUAAAUUUUAUAAUAAAUUAUAUUUAAAUACUAUAAUAAUAAAUUUAAUAAAUUAAAAUUAAUUUUGAUAUCUUAAAUUUUUGAAAUUUAAAUUUCAUAUUUUAUUUUUUAAAAUUUAAAUUUGAUCUUAAAUUUAAAGUUUGAAAUUUAAAUUUAAAUUUUAAAAUUUAAAAUUUAAAAUUUGAGAUUUUAAAUUUUAAAUUUUAAUUUUAAAUUUUGAAAUUUAAAAGUUAAAAUUUUAAAAUUUGAAAUUUAAAAGUUAAAAUUUUAAAUUUUAAAAUAUAAAUACAAAAUAUAAAAAUUCAAAUUCCAAUAUAAAAAAAGGGAUAAUAUUAUUAUUUUUAUUUAUAACUACCCACUUUAAUUCUUGUUCUAUCUUAUCUAACCAAACGCUAUUUUUCUUAUUUACAGAAAUAACCCAAUUUUCAUCCAAACGUAAAAUUGAUCUAAUCCCCGCUUAUACCUCAAUUUAUACCUAUCCCUGGAAUACCCACUUUUUGCUUAUUCCUGAACCAAACGAUACCUUAGAUAAUAUGUAAUAAUAUUGAUAUUAAAAAAUAAUUAAAAUAAAUAAAUAAAAAGUAUGAGGACCAGGUGCAAAGUACUGCUCAUAUAUUUUACCACCCCCUCCCCCCGUAAAGAAAAAUAUAUAAAUAAAUAAUAAAGAACAAAGAGUAUAGUAACCAACCUAUACAUGAUGCUAAUAUGCCUGAACAAUAAAGCAGAAAUAUGCUCAACAUUAAAAAAAAAGAGAGAGAAAAACAAAUACCAUCCCUUCACUAUCCCAUAAGGCCACGAGGGCGGCCACUCCAGUCCAAUCUCCCACGUCUCUCUUUCUCGCUUCUCUCUCGUACUAUAUUUUCUCUCUCCUCCCGACCUUUCACUUUUGCAUUCUAGUCUCUGUUUCUUCCACUGUACUUACUUAGCGCCCUUCCCAGUUCCCCCCACCCCCCUUAAUUUCGCUCUCUCUUCUUCGAGACCUUCUCCAUUCUCUCUCUUUCUCUCUCUCUCUCUCUUUCUCUUAUUAGAGAGUAAAGAGAGAGAGAGAGAGUAAAGAGAGAGAGACAGAGAGAGAGGAGAGAGAGGAGAAGGUGAUGAUGUCGGAGGAGGAGGAGGAGGGGGAAGGAGAAGAGCAGGAGAAGCGGCGGGCAGGGGAUGCGGCGCCGGCGAUGUGGGGGCAGAUCCUGGAGAACGUGGUGGAGAACGUGCUGCAGUUCCUGACGUGCCGGCGCGACCGGAACGCGGCGUCGCUGGUGUGCCGGUCGUGGCACCGCGCCGAGGCCCGGACGCGGGGGGACGUGUUCGUGGGCAACGCCUACGCGGUGUCGCCGGGGCGCGUGGCGCAGCGGUUCCCCGCCCUCCGCUCCCUCCUGCUCAAGGGCAAGCCCCGCUUCGCCGACUUCAACCUCGUGCCCCCCGGCUGGGGCGCCUCCCUCUCCCCCUGGGCCCAGUCCGCCGCUUCCUCCGCCUCCUUCCGCUCCCUCGAGCGCCUCACGCUCAAGCGCCUCUCGCUCUCCGACGCCGACCUCUCCCUCCUCGCCCGCUCCCUCCCCUCCUUCCGCGACCUCACCCUCCUCUGCUGCGACGGCUUCGGCACCCCCGCCCUCGCCGCCCUCGCCGAGCACUCCAAGUCAUCACCUUCUUCAUCAUCCUCAUCCUCAUCCUCAUCAUUAUAAUUAUUAUAAUUAAUUAACUCUCUCUUCUCCCUCUCUCUUACACACGCACAGGCACAGGCACACACAAAGCGAAAGAGAGAGAGAGAGAGAGAGAGAGAGAGAGAGAGAGAGAGAGAGAGAGUAAUAAUAAUAAUAAUAAUCCUUAAUUAAUUGAUAAAUUAAUUAAUUAACUAGCUAGUAUUUCAUUGUUUGUUUUUCUAAUUCGUUCCGCAACACGCAGGCAGCUCCGCGUGCUGGACCUCAUCGACAACGACCUCGCCGACGACGACGAGGACGACGCCGUGGACUGGGUGUCCCGCUUCCCCGCCGCCGCCACCUCCCUCGAAUCCCUCUCCUUCGAGUGCGUCGCCUUCGCCGUCGGCUUCGACGCCCUGGAGGCGCUCGUCGCCCGCUCCCCGCGCCUCCGCCGCCUGCGCGUCAACCAGCACGUCUCCGUCCCCGCCAUCCUCCCCGUCUGCCCCAACCUCACCUCCCUCAAUUUGAGCUACGCCGAUAUCUCCGCCCACCAGCUCAGGCCCGCCAUUUCGCAANGGACUGGGUGUCCCGCUUCCCCGCCGCCGCCACCUCCCUCGAAUCCCUCUCCUUCGAGUGCGUCGCCUUCGCCGUCGGCUUCGACGCCCUGGAGGCGCUCGUCGCCCGCUCCACCUGCCUCUCCGGCUUCCGCGACCUCGCCCCCGACUACCUCCCCGCCAUCCUCCCCGUCUGCCCCAACCUCACCUCCCUCAAUUUGAGCUACGCCGAUAUCUCCGCCCACCAGCUCAGGCCCGCCAUUUCGCAAUGCCACAAUCUCCAGACCUUCUGGGUAUAUAUAUUAUCUAUUAUAUAUAUCACCCCACCCUCUCUUUCUUCAAUUAAUUCGCCCGAUCAGCUUCUCCCUUUUUUUACCACGGAGUUCCGUCCCGCUGUCUUGCAGGUGCUCGACACGGUGCGCGACGAAGGUCUCCAAGCCGUGCAAUCAGCUCCGCGAGCUUCGGGUCUUCCCCUUAGAUCCGACGGAGGAUUCCGAGGGCUCCGUUUCCGACAUCGGCCUCGCCGCCAUCUCCCGCGGAUGCAGGGAUCUCCGAUCCAUCCUAUACUUCUGCCAGCGGAUGACCAAUGCCGCCGUCACCGCCAUGUCCGAGAACUGCCCGGACCUCGAGGUGUUCCGACUCUGCAUAAUGGGCCGCCACCGGCCCGACCACCGCACCGGCCAGCCCAUGGACGAGGGCUUCGGGGCCAUCGUCGUCAACUGCAAGAAGCUCACCCGGCUAGCCGUGUCCGGCCUCCUAACCGACAAGGCCUUCGAGUACAUCGGCAGCUACGGGAAGUCGGUCAGAACACUCUCCGUGGCUUUUGCCGGGAACAGCGAUUUGAGCCUGAAAUAUGUCCUCGAGGGUUGCACCAAUUUGCAGAAGCUCGAGAUCCGGGAUAGCCCCUUCGGCGAUGCGGGCCUGCUUUCCGGGAUCCAUCAUUUUUACAAUAUGAGGUUCGUGUGGAUGUCGUCCUGCAAGCUAUCGCUGAACGGAUGCAAAGAGGUGGCUCGCAGGCUGCCUCGAUUGGUGGUGGAAGUGAUAAGAGACCGGGCGGAGGACGAGGAGAGCGGGGCCGUGGAGAAGCUGUAUAUGUACCGCUCUCUCGCGGGGCCAAGAGAUGACGCGCCGCCUUUCGUGAACAUCUUGUGAACUAGAGCUGCUGAUUAUUCUGAAUUCGGUCGGUUUGUUUUCGUAUCCCACCGGAUUCCAUUAUGCUUGCUUGCUCCGUGGCGUGAAUAGUUGAUGACGGUGUUCUUCGUUGUUCGCAUGAAUAGGUGAUGAUGGUGGAAUAGCAGUUGCAGUCGAAGAUCAAAACAAUAUGGUGAGGAUGAGUACGAAGCGGAAAGGGGAGGUAUCUAGACGAAAGGAAAGAAGUAAUGUCGAGUUGUUGUAUCAGUAGGGCAUUAUUUAUACAGAUCAUCUGGAAUUUUAUGUGAUCGUGUUUUCCAGCACAAUCAAUUUUGCUUUCUGCGUUAGAGAAGAGCAUUCGGUCAUAGCUGCAUCGUUGAAGAGAUUUGUUUAGGUGACACCCGGAUAUCCGAAGCUUGUUUUCUUCAAGGUUUUUCUAUCCAUUUGAAGAUUUUGAUUUUGAUGUUUCUUUAUUUUCUUGGAUUGUUCUCUUUAUUUGAUCGAUGUGCCAGAUUCUUGAGAUAAAACUUACUUACCGGUAGGAACAAAUAAAAAUUAAUCUGUUUCUUGUUGCUGCUUUGGACUUCACUGUUUGAUCAUUGGCUACCCGAUAAGUGAUACUACUCGCAUUUGAUAGUUGUAGUUUUCUCGAAUUAUCCUCUGUUGUCGGCAUCCAGUUAUAAGGUUAGGCGACUAAUGAUUACAUAGCGGCCUGAAAAUUCAUACUGCGAAAGCUACAACCCAUGGCCUUUAUUGAGAAGUCAGUAUAAGUUAGGCUGUGGCCCAUUAAGUGAAAGGGAAAAACAAAAGAUUUCGUUGUCUUAGCAGUCACAGUCAUCAGGUUAGCACAGUUUUCUUUGAAUGCUUCGGUCGUUAGUCAUUCUGCAGCUAACUAUUGGCAGGUGGGCAGCAAUUAUCAAUCCCCAUAAUGUUUUUUUUAUUUUUUCUUUUUUUUUUUUGGUCUUUCACUAGACAUGUAUUUUUAACUUGCGCUAAUCUUUGUUGGCAAAAAGAAAUGUUAGCUAUCUUAGAAUCUCUUAAUAUUACUCUCUAGCACUGUUGAAUUGUCUUCAAGUCUGUAAAGCUUUAAAACACUGAAAGGUUAUUUAGUUGUGUCUUUAGCUUUUUGCUCUAUGAUAGAUUCUUUUUAUGACGAACUCCGCAUGUAGUACUUGCUCUAUAUGUGCCGUCAGCUUGUAUUUUGAGUCGAAGUCUUUUGAGGUGAAAAAAUCAAGCACCUUAGCAUAAUCUAGAAUUGAAACACUAGGGCAAGAUCAGACAGCUGCCGUUCUCUUUUUCUCUAACUGUCUGUUAGUCGACCAUGGCGAGGAGCAGAAGCAGCCAUCACGGCUUUUUCUCGUUGGCCCUGAUUCGAAAGAAGGUAAAGCGACUCAUCGGUCGUCAGGGAUCUAUCUACAGAGGUGAGCGCAUCCGGGCACAGAGGUGAAAAGAUGAUACGAGGACGAGAGGAUAAGGACUCAUCAGUUCAGUAGAAGCGAGCAUAUUUUGCUGUUGGAUUGUGAGGUCAGAAGAGGAAAAGAAAGAGAGUGACAUUUCCAGUUUAAAGGUGAUGCAAUCCAUUUGUUACAAGUGGACGGUUUAAUUGAGUACCACCCCUUGGUUGUAGGGGACCCCAAUCAUUGUUACUGCUACCUGUUUAUCCAUUUGUGCAAAUUACGAAAAAGAAAGAAAUCUUUAGGUAGUGAAUCUAGGGUAAAAAUCUGAUGCCUCUGCAGCUUUUGAGUUUUGUUAAUUUAAGUUAGGGGUUCAGUUAAAUUUCACGACGGUUCUGCAAAAUUUGAAAAUCGUAAGUUGAUUCUUUUUUUCUUUUUUUGACUGUCAGUGGUUGGUAGUUAGCAGAGCCUUGAACACAGCGCAAAUCGAAGCAACUAAAAGUUGGGGGAGGACAAUUCAAAAAGAAAAUCUGCUGAUAGAGUCUAUUUCGAAAAGGUCUCUACCUGAGGGGCUUCCUGUACAUUUCAACCUAUAGCUGCAGGAUGUUCUUUAUAAAGGAACUUGGUAAUUGUAGGCUUAGAGGAUGAUCAGGUUGACCAUUAUGGGUGAAACAAUUCACUCUUCCUCUCUUUUUCUUUGCAUUAUGAGGAACCUUUAGGUUUCUGUCAUAUUGUGUCUGAUAAAGCAGAGUAGUUUCUUUUCUUUCUCUCUUUUCUUUUUGAUGCCGAACAAAUUGAUGAAGAAAAGUUAGGCAGGGGGAGGGGAGGAUCAUUUAGCGAUUCGAUUACUGCUAAGAACAGCUCUCCUCACCUAACCAUCUUUUGAGCUAGGUGGGAGAAUCAAAUUCCUAUUUAUUGAGUGUACUUUAUUUGUUUAGAUGCUGAGAUCUCUAUGCUUACAGAUGGACUGUUAAACACCAAGUUGCAGAUAGCAUUUAAAAGUUGUUAGAUCAUAUUUUUAUCGCCUUUUCGAUCAUAGCAUCUCAGAAAUAGGGAUACAAGAGAUCUCAUUGCGCAGCCGCCUUUUCCUUUUUAGCUGAGAAAAGAAAUACAUAUCAUAUUAGUUUUCUAAUGCAUGGCCUUAUGCAAAAUAAGAUUAUCGCGUUACACUCCAUGCUCUCUCAUCAGGUAUCUACUCUUUUUCCUCAAAGUUCUUUAUUUCUACAUUUUUUUCUACUAGCUAUGUCAACAUGAUUGAUUGCUGAUUAACCCACUCCUUCGGAAAAUAUCUGUCGAUUGCGUGCGUAUCUACCAAUGUUAGUGAUAACUUUGAUGGAUAUUGGACUUUGAGUUGAACACUAAUAUAGUGACAAAAGUAAAACUUCGGCUGCAGAAAUUUAAUUUCUACCUUGAAUCUUUCUUCUCAAGGAAUAUGUUGCAUGUAACUAAUGACUAAACGAUUUCGGUAUUACAGUUUUGAUUUUUUACUACAUUAUAUAAGAUGUACAGAGCUGGGAUACUAUUGAUAGCACGAAGCAUUUGGUGCUAUUAAGUUUUCUGCCGUUAGAUUUAUUUCUUUUAUCAUUUUCAUCCGUUCGAUUAUACUAUUCAACCAACCACCUAUUCAACCUUAAAGGAUCCAUAUCAUUCUAACCGCAUAUCUUUUAAUUCAAGGGUGAAAAUUUUAAUAGCACCAAGUCAUUGGUGCUAUUAAUAGUAUUCCAGCCUAGUUCUCUCUCUCUCUAUAUAUAGAGAGAGAGAGUAGAGCUACUAUACUAUUGGAAGUAUAAAGUAGUUGGUGCUUCCAAUUUUUUAGCCCUUAGAUCAAUCCCAUUGAUCAUUUCUAACCAUUGAAUUAAUAUUAUUAACUAAUGGGGACCACUCAAUCCUAAGGGGACUGCUAUCAUUCCAAUCAUAGAAUUUUUUAUCAAAGGGCUAAAAAAUCGGAAGCACCAACUACUUUAUGCUUUCGAUAGCAUAGUAGCUCUACACUAUAUAUAUAUAUAUAUAUAUAUAUAACUAGGCUGGAAUACUAUCAAUAGCACCAAGUUAUUGGUGCUAUUGAUUUUUUAGCCCUUGAAUUGAGAAAUGGAUGGUUAGGAUGAUGUGGGCUCUCUAGGGUUGAGUGAGUGGUUGGUUGAAUAGUAUAAUCUAACGGGUAAAAAUAAUCAAAGUGUUAAAUCUAACGGUGGAAAACUCGAUAGCACCAAAUCAUUGGUAAUAUCGAUAGUACCCAUAUAUCCCUACAAUCUACAUCAGUGGCCAUGACCAAAUAACAGUCUUCAGAAAUCUUAGGCAUAAGCUUGGACCUAUAAAUGCUUCAUGUUCCUCUUUUUUUCUCUCUUUUUCUUUUUAUUUCGAGCUUUUGUAAUAUUUUGUAAUGGGCCUAAAAACUGUGUGAAAAUUCUGCAAGAAUUUGUUGAGGAAUAUCAACGUACAAAGUAGCUAUAUAGCUUUGCCUAAAAGUUGCUUAAAAGAACAUAUUCUAAACCAUAAAUGCCUAAAGAUCGUAGCCAGAUUUAUGAUGUUGAUAAUAUGUACAUAAUCUUUUGAUGUUUGAAACAAAAAAAGGUGAUUCUCUUUGACAGAUGAUGAAUAUAUACAAAGAAGAUUUUUGAUGUCUUAAGUGGCAAUCAUUCUUAAUGACAUGAGAGAUAAUAGGAUAAUUUAGUGAUAGAGAACAAAUUAAUACAGAUAAUGAGGCAGAAAAGAAAUAAAGUUUAUUGAGCUUCAGGAAAGAAAAGGAAAAUCAUAAAGGGAGAUAACACUUUAAAUCUUGGAAAUAUCUGAUUUGGAGAAUAUAUAGAUUUUGCGAUUGGAUUUACUCUAAUUUCAGAAAAUUCCAGUGAACUCUAUUAGAUUUAACUUUUAUGCCAAAAGAUCACAGAAUAUUUUGUUAAGAGGUGUUAGGAAUUAAUGCAUGCAGUAGAAAAACUAUUUUCUUUCUGGAAAAUAGUUUUCGGUAUGUUUGUUUAGUCGUAAAAGUAUAUAUAUUUUCAGUAAAAAUGGGUCGACGGAAAAUGAAAACUUGCACCAUUUUGUACACUACAUUUUUGUCUACCAUGUUUUCUUUUUAAUAUUUAGUCUUUACCAUUUUGUAUGUACCAGUUUUUUUUUAAUUUAAAAUUUGGAUAAUAAAAUUAAAAGUAUGAGAUGAAUUGGCAGUUGUUUGAAGUAUGGUGCAUGGGUGCAUUGGGUGCACAAUUUUAUUCCUUUUCUGGUGUACCUCCCCCCACAUUAUGAUUAAAAUAAAAUGUCUAAAUAAUAUAAUACACUAUGUGGUAAUUUACUGUAUUUUUAUUUAUAACAUACAAACUAAUAUCCAACAUAAUAUAUUAUAUUUUACAGAUUAAUAUAAAUAAUCUAUGUUAUAUUAUAUAAAUUAUUAUGUGUAAAUGCAAUAGAAGAGAAAAUAUAAUUUUUUUCUAAGCAACCAAAAAAAAUCUUCAUCUCUAUUUUUUGCCAUCCAAACGAGGAUAAUCUAAAAAAAAUACUUUCUUUUUCUGAUAGGCCAAACAUUAAAGUUUCUAAAACUGUUUUCCAACCGAACAGAUCCUAAGUGAUAGACUACUUUAACACGUUAUAAAAUAUUCUAACAAAAACUUAGCGGUACUAUUAGUUUUUUUUCUUUCCAGAGAGAGGAGGGUAGCAUGCUAUUCGCUUUAUUUAUUUCAGUACUAUUAGUUUUUAAUUAAAAAACACUUAAACCAAACAUAAUUUUUGUUCAAAUUAUAAAAAUGAAAAAAUUCUCACCAUUUUGGUAGAGGGAAUAAUUUACCUUAUUUGUCAUAGUUGUGGUCAAAAUUUUUACUUGAUUAGAUCUAAGAUAUCAUAAAUGGUUGUAUUAAAUUAUCCCAACUGCGGCUUGGUGCAUUCGCCUUCAGAAGUUGGAUGUUUUAAGUCAACCAUAAAGCCACUUAAAUGAAAGCAUAUGCUUUGAGAUUUAUGCAUUAAAAUAUCUAGAGAUUAAUUAAGCAAAGCCAUUGGAGGAUUAAAUUAUAUAAAGGCUCAUGAGGGAACCUUUCAAAAAAGAAAUGUAAAAGAAACCAAGUUGUCCCAUCACAGUAGUUGCUCUUUCAGAACUCCUGAAAGGUGUGCAACAAACUAAGAAUUAAAGCUUUUUCGAAUCACAUAAUAGAUCUAAGCAUAGGGAAUCAAAAAAGUGGUCCAAGAGCUAAAAUCAAAUUCACUAUUUAAAUAGUUCCCAUGUUUGACAUAUUCUCAUCAAUCGAGACCUUAAUGUCCACUCCUCAGUGGAGCCAAGUUACAUGAUUCUCCUUCUCAAAUGGAGAGCUCCAUUACUUCCUACUGCAGUAGAUUCAUGCAUGGUAGUGAACUUUUUUUUUUUAAUUUUUCCUUUUUUUCUAAAGAAAGUGAUCAUAAACAGACAAUGUAUCUAACCCCAAUCGAUCUGAAGUCAACUUUGGAACCUUUGGCUCUGCAAUUAUCCAACUGCUGAGGCAUUCAUUAAGAAUUUCAUUCUCUUUUUGCCUUUUAAGGGACAUCUGUAAGUUAAUUCCUGAUGGAUGGUACGCUUUUUUAAUUCACAAAAAAGUACUUGCCCGUUCAAAAGCCCGAAUUUUUUUUACUGUAGAAGAAAUUAAAAUGAGUUUGCGAAUAAAGUAAAUAAUAGAAUCUCUAAUUUGAAGCUCCGGAUAGCUAGUAUUUAAUUACUUUUUUGUUAGUAUUUUGGGGUAAAAGCUCCAGCCGUACCUAACGGGGCUGUGAAGAACAAAUUAUUCUUGCCUUUUCCUUUAACAAGAAUAUAAUUUUUAGUAACAUGUAAGUUGGCUUCUUGGUGAAAAAUCUGGUUAUUCCAUCUGAUAAAGAGCCCAAUAUCCUAUGUAAAUGGUAUGUAAAUUAUUUAGAAAUGGAAUCUUUUCCUCUUUUAUUUCUAACAUAAAGAUUGAGUAGAAGUUAAACCAAGAAGGACAAGCACAUGAUUUAGAUCCUAGCUGAGGAAGAUUGUCUGUCAUGUAAACUGGCCUUGUCAUGCCAUUCUGUGAACUUCAUUAUUU
This 87047-nucleotide long non-coding RNA is filed under the name Ananas comosus (pineapple). RNAcentral describes it as "long non-coding RNA (ACOM_LNC022811)". The record is from RNAcentral. Lineage: Eukaryota; Viridiplantae; Streptophyta; Magnoliopsida; Poales; Bromeliaceae.